Molecule: long non-coding RNA, 49303 nt
Filed under: Xyrichtys novacula (pearly razorfish)
Lineage: Eukaryota; Metazoa; Chordata; Actinopteri; Labriformes; Labridae
Source: RNAcentral
GAAAAGCCGCAGAGGAGGUAGGCUGAGGUGGGGAAGCAGGCUGGAAGCUGGGGAGAAGAUGAGAAGAUAGACAGACGGACGGACAGGCGAGUCAGUGAAUGUAGUGGUGUGACCUAAUAAUUCAGUAAGGGAGCGUCACUGGAAGCUCAGGAAGGUUUUGAUGUGGCAGCAAUUGGUCCGCAGGGGGGGGAGAACAGGAGAAAGACACACCCAGAGCAGCAGGAGGCCAUCGAUUUCACCGCGGAGCCACAGUCAGACAUCCGCAGAGAUGAGAGAGGAAAGAGGAGGUCAGUCUGCAGCUUCACACACACACACACACACACACACGAUUGUCAACGGUAUCCUGGCACUGACUGAUCCCCAAGGAGUGAAGGGAGGUACAGAGAGAUAAGCAGGCUGCACGUGGCAAGAGAUACCGGUCCUCCCUCUGAUACAGGAAUAUUGUUUAACAGUGAAGAACAUUAUCCAGGUGAUUAGUAUGUAUUGCAAAACGAACCCCAGGCUCUUGGUCUUAUCACACACCCAGUGUGACUUUCUCUUCCUGGAAAUCAGUCUUGCUGCCCGUAAGGCCGUCUGUUAAAAAUGAUGCUGGAGGUUUGCUUACAGAGACUCCAUGCAGAGACCAAAGCCCAGCCUAGUCCAGAAUUUAACCUUUACAUGAAUUAAACAGAGGCAGCACACUGAUGGCUACAUCCCUGCUAGUAGAUCCACUUGUAAGUCCACUGUAUACUCCUUAUCUAUUUAUUUAUUUCCUGAUUUUAACAUAAAAUGAUUCAUAAACCAAACUUUGUCUAUUCUACAGAGUUAGAGUUGAAUGUUUUUUUACAAGAAAACAAUAAGAGAUCUGUUGUUGUUGACGCUUCCUGUGAGGAUAAUACUCUGAAUGAUAGCUCAUCUUUUAGAUUAGCACCAAAGACAAAGGUUAAAAAAAGAAAACACCUUUUCUCCCCCUGUUGUCUUGAAAACAGACGCCUCAUCUCUCACACUGUGCUGGCUUUGGCGAUCCUCUCAGACGGAGAGGCGACGCCUUUAGCCAAGCAAUAGGGGGCACUCACGCAGAGACACACACAUGCACCCUGUCACAAAAACGAACAACCAAACAGAGAGCAGGAAAAGACACGGUCCGAGCACUUCUUCUAAUUCUCUAAUACUCAAGCAGGAAAACAGGGGUUCAGUCUACUAGUUCCUUGUCCUUGAUUCUAGACCUUUACUUCGACUGGAUGGCUGCUUCAGUAAAAGCCACGCCCUUUGUCUCAUCACCAAACAACAAUAAGAAAGUUUAGAGUUAAUGCAAAAGUUCUCCAGAAAAUAGCGCAUCCAAGUGAUGACUAAAAACGGUGAUUUACUGUUAGAGCGGUAAUAAAAAAUGACCUCUAAGUUCAGUAUUGGCAGCAAAGCCCCUUCAAUUUCAAUCAUAAAGUUAAAGAGAUGUGCUAUGUCAUCGUCUCCCUCCUGAGUCAUAUUCUCUCAAUACAUCUCCCAUCUACUCACUCUAAUAUCCUCCUAUAAAAUCCCCACCUUCUACAACUCUCCUUGGCUUGAGUUUUUAUGUCUUUUUGCGUCCCCCUCUCUGAGGAAUGUUGUCAAGGUAAUGUGACGAUGACCCUUAUACCCCUCAUUAAACCACUUAGUAUCCAAGCAUCAUCUUAAUAGCGAAAAUGUUAAUGUAAAAAAUACAGACGAGACAGACGACCUUAAAAAACGGUGGCGGGGAGUUUACUUUCAUCGUGUGUUAACUAAAGGUCUCAGUCGCUAUCUCUUCCAUUAGUACUCGCAUCAGCAUCCAUGUCGUAACCUCGUUCAGGCAGCGCGACAGACAGUCCAAACAAAGUCAGUAAGAUCCAACAACACGAAAGAGACGGGUGUCAAAGUGACAGAUGGAAAGUUGAACAUCUGUCACUGUGCUGAACUGUUUGGCUGAUAUCAAAGGGAGAUGAGGGCCUUCAAAGGACAGGCAAAGCCACGUCUGAGGCCAGACAUGCUCUGGUGUGCUCUGCAGAUAAGGGCCAAGAGGUUAUAUUGCUUUUCUUCUGUCUCUCCCUUUGUUCUUCUCUGUCUUAAGGGAGUAGGAUGGUGAGAGAGAAAAGAGACAGAAAGAAAAAAAGAGACGGAGAAAAAAAGAGAGGGUGAGUCACCUACAGGUUGCCUGUCUUCUGCCGUCUCAGAACUGCAUGUUGGUCAAAGAUUCGUUAGUGGAAUUUGUGUUGUAGGACAGCAAGAGUAAUGCACAGAGGUGGAUGAAGCACAAGGCUGCAAGGCCGUGAUGUGGAUCAUUCCUGACAGAAUCAGAGAACUUCACCCUUCCAGGCCUUCUCUUUCCCUGCCUUCUCCAGCUUGCUGCAGCAGAGCCGUUGCCUCAAGCAUACCUUCGACUGGGAGCACUUUGACUCAGCUGGAUGCGAGGCAUGAGCUAAAUAGCAGAGUAAUCCUCAGUGGAGUUCUGAAGGAAACGUGCACACUACUUCAUAUCUCAAAGGGUUUGCAGGUUUACUUUCUUGGCAUGGGUGAAGAACACCACAGCCCUGGAGCACCAUCUGUGAAGCUGACUGCUGUGCGUUUCAAACUGAAUUCAAAGUGCGAGGCAAGGAGGUGGUAGUGCUGCACCUUGACUCCAGUCUUUUCUCUUUAGAGGAAAUACGUAUUCUGGCACAAACAUAUUUAGCAUUGCACAAUGCUUGUUUUCUUACAUUUCUAACAUGCUAGCAGUUGCCGGUGUAUCACCAAUGCACAGUGUAGUUUUUCAUAGUCCUUAAGGGAUAACAGACAUACAGGCCAAUUUGGUCUGUGCGCUGGUCAGCGAAUUUCAAAAGGUCAGGCACCAGGCAGUGUUAUUGCACUGAUGGUGAUUUUAAAAGAUUUUCAAAGUGGGGGGCAGCAAAACAAAGGCCACUGGUUGGCCGUUAUUGGAAUGGAAUAACACUGUUUGUCAGAUAAAUUGAUUUUCCUGCUACUGGUCCCCAUUAUGUUGAUGUAGGCAGUAUGGGAGCUGCCAGGUGAGACCCUGGAGUUAAGUGAAUAACUUCUGCAUAACGCAGGCAGGAUAGAAGAGUAAAACUUCUUUUUUCUCCCCUUUGAACAAGGUCAAGUCAACGUAAGGGGUGAUAAUGACGGAGAAUAAAUGACUAAUGACCCUGUCAGCUUAAUACUCUCUCAUCAGAGUGGAGCUCAGAUGACAUUUAAAUCCUAAGAAUGGACAUUUGGAUUGUAUGUGUCAACUGUAACAGAUCUACUUACACUAAGAUGUGGACACAAUAAUGGAAACAGCUGAACUUGGCUGUAACUGAAAGCCAACACUGCAUAGUAGACUCGCUUUUCAUGAAAUCAUCCCUUUAUCAUCAAACUGUGUGCUAGACCUGCAACAGCUUGGUAGCACAACAUGAUGGCUGACACUACGUUAGGCAAAUUGAUUUUAUGGUAAUUCCCCAUCAUUUACAGGAAACGUGGCAUGUAACGUAAAAGGUAACCCAUGUUAACCCAUGUUUGAGCGUGUGUCUUUAUGUUUAACAUGAAAUUACUUGCUCAUAUUCAUCCACGCUUUCAAUCUGAGGGCGACUAAGUGAGAACAAGCCCGAGCCAGUAUACUUUACCCGCAGCCCUGCAUCAUUGCUUUUGAUACGAGAAGGACACUGCUCAUCGAACAGGCAUAGGUCUAGAUGUCCUCUGUGUUGGUUAUCACAUGACAUAGGGCUAAUUAACUCAAGAGUGCAAAGUAGAGGCCCUGCAAGGAGCAAUAAACAUUCUCCAUUAAAAGCCAUCUCAUUAGAAUGCAAGCUACAAGGGCUUGAAGGAGAGGAUAACAAAUACAGAGGCCGGUGUAAUUGUCAACCAGGCUCAAUGGAAAGCAAACAUCAUAGACACAAUCAGCUGAGCACUUCCUAUAAGGUCAUGAAAGAAUGCUAUUAAAGUACUCCUCGCUAUUUGAGCCAAGUUUGCAGAUGGUACUUUCCUCUACCACAGAAAAGGUCACAUACAUUUCAGCAGUAAUGCACCUCAAAUAGCAUGUCAUCAUUUAUAACCAGCUACAGUUGACAACGGCUGGAUAGAGGCGCAUGGUGCACAGAAUCUACUUAUUGAAAGCGCAGCCAAAUAACAAAUUUAGCGUACAAAAUUAGCAAAUUUGGGUCUCUUGCCAAACAAAUAAAGACCUCAUCAAACAGCCUUAUUCAAAUUGCUUGUGGUUCUUUUAAAUUACAACAUCUCACCAGGAAAAAAACUUGAUUGUAAAUAUAUAUAUAUUUUUUUAUCUGGGUCAGUCUUUUCCACUGUUUAAAAGUAAAAAGUUAAAGAGGAAACUGUAAGAUUUCCAAGUUGGCCAACUCUACAUCCAGUCUAGGCCUUCAGGCUCUGUGGUUGAUUGAUAGUAAUGGAAACGCCAGCAGGCCUCCUGAGCCUUUUGCCAAUUUAACCUGUUUUACCAUGACUCAAUUCUUCCUCAAAUAACCCUGCUGCUGACGGGGAUGCACUACAGGCUUCUGCAGCUGAUAAGAUGAGCGUGCAGGAGCAGAGGGACAGAGAGAUGGAUGCAGGGAAAUAGUUUUAACACGUGCUGGGGUUGUGUGUCUACAAGCACCGCUGUUUUAGGAACCCCUUCUGUGAAGCGGGAAAGUAGACAGGUUAAAGAAGUGUAACUGUAGCGCUUUUACUCGUAUAAGCAUGCCUCACACACAACACAGACACAAAACUUCCCAGCCUGAUUCAUGGCAAAUUUAUGUACCACACUGGGCACAUUAUGAGUUCCUGUGUCAGGUAAAUGGGCUUGAAGCGACUGGGAAGAGUGAUUCUAACUGCGAGUGAAACGAGAAACAGGCGGAUUCAUCUACAUAAAUUUUUUCAAGGAUUCCGUCUUGGUCAACAACAGUUUGCCAUGAGAAUAACUGACCACAAGCUUAUUUCUAUUUAAAAUUUUCAGCCUUUUCAACCCGAGCUCUCCAGCCUGUAGUGUUUAAGUGGAAAGAGGACAGGAUUUAAUCGUCUUACGUCAAGCUUAAACCAUUUAUUUAGGACAUCAUGUAGGCUUAUAUAUUGCGGUGUAAGUGAGAUUACAUUUAAUCAGGUUGCAAUGUGAUUCUAGACUCAUUUAAAGUCUAAUCAAGGAUCACAUCCAAACUAUCACUUGUCUGAUUUGUUUGAAUGGAUUCUUACGUUAAGAUUACAUCCAGUUGUCAUGGAAUCAAAAUAGUCUGAGCUCAUCAUGGUGAUAUGCUGUCAACAAAUGGAUACUAUGUUUCUAUCCGCUACAAGUAAAUUUAAACAUUUAAACAACAUACACAUUUACAAUUAGUACAUUUCUUAAUUCGUUUAGAGUUAAUGCUCAUAUAUUUUAUUCUGAUGCUCAGUAAUUGACUAGUCAGCCAUUCUUUAAAAGAAUUUCAACUUAGUGAACUUGGUUACAGCAGAAAAACCAGUAUAGACAGAGGAAACAAAAGGAAGAUAGAGUCAGAAAUAAAGAGAUAGAGAGAGGAAGAUAAAGAUAGAGAUAAACACUGAGAGAGAAAAAUAAAAAUGGAGAGAGUGACAGCACAGGGGGGCUCAGACAUCUGCUCAGGUAUAAUGAUGAUGCUGUGGGGGAGGAAAGAAAUAAGAUAUGGAGGUCACGUUUCUGGCAUGGAGCCGCCAUCUGUCCCCCAGGGUUAGUGGGGUGAGCCAAGAGUGGCGGAAGAGCUGGGGGGUAAUGCAUCUCCUAGAACAUCUCACUGACUUAAAAUGUCCCCAUGCAUUACAGCAUGCACAUCGUCGUCUUUAGUUCUUUGACUAAAUUCUUCACUCUCAACAUCAUGGGUCUGAACUUUGUCUGGAGGAGCUGUGCAAAAUCUGCAAAAAUAUUCUGCUUCCAAACACUUAGUGGAGCCUGCUAGUGUAUGGGCAGCAAGGUUAUCAGAAAGCACACACAUACCAUGGACUGCCUUACAAAUGAUCUCAAUGAAAAAACCCUUCUUGCUUAAGAGCGGGGAGCUACCAUAGAUUGUAUAGAAUGGACAGAGUCUGCCUCCUUGCUGGGUGAAGCCACUCAGAGAAGAGCACCCUCUGUUGACGGGCUGCAGUAUAGGUCAUAAAUCCCGCCUCCACCAGCAAAGCUUAUGGGGCUGUUGACAAACUUUAAAAAAUUUAUUACACAGAAUAUAAUUUUUUCUCCCCCCUGCUUGCAACAUUGACAUGUAGUCACAGUAAGACUGGUUUGUGCUCAAAUCCUCUUUUUUCUGUGAAGCUCCAUUUUAAAAGUUUUUAGGGAGUUCAUGUUUUCAUUGAUUGACACCUGAUACAACCUAUGGGCAUUCAGGGAUUAAGUAGCUCACCUGGGGGAUACGCUGUUCGAGCCAAGCAUCAUCACAGCCACUGUCGGCGACUCUCGCGCCGAAUGUGCACAAUGCCACUGCGCAGCGCUGGUUUCAGGAAAUGAAGAAAAAUCCCGGAAAUACCGAGAGCUUUUUGGCUUCAAAUCCAUAUAAAGGCGGGAGGCGGAACCAAGUUGUCCAUAGUAUAUACAGUCUAUGGGAGCCAUGCAGCGAUACCAACGACGUCAUACUCAGCGUUCUCCCUUCACUUGAAAAUAUCAUUCAGAGACUGACAUUGACUCAAUGACAUUUAUCUACAUCAAAUCAGAACCCGAUUACUUAUUCAGACUACUCGAUUAUUUACAAUUAUUUUUACUAAAUAGCUGCAUUUGAGUUUUGUGCCCUUAAAAGCCUUGAGAUAGUACUGUUCAGGUUUACAUCAUGGGUCUGAACUUUGUCUGGAGGAGCUGUGCAAAAUCUGCAAAAAUAUUCUACCCACUACAACAUUGAGGUUAGGAUUGGGGUAGUUAUUGAUUUGCCCCUUCAGGUGAACUGUACUAUACAGCGUCUGAAACAGAAUCAUGUCCAGUGUGCAUGUCGUGCUGUAAAUGUUUUGUAAGACACAGCAGGCUGUAGAGACAUGUGGAACUUUGCUCCUGUCUUAUGUGUCCGUAAUGGAGCAAUUCUUGGGAGAAAGGUUUGUAUUUUUGGUGCAAAAGGUUUUUGCAUCAGUAACAUGUAAUUUGUAGUCGUGAACACUGAUUGUGUACGUGAAUUGGUAAAUGUGAAAUCCGUACUCUAUGAGUUGUGUAAUUGUAGAUUUUUUUUUUUAAUUCGCGAAAAUAGUUGUGUUGUUUUUAAACACACAUACAGAUCGAUACUUACAACCGCUGGAAUCUUCCCUACGAGUCACAGAUUGCGCUCCCUCCAUCUCCAACUCGAGUCGCUGAAUUGUUUGGAGCAAAUGGCGGGUGCUGACCAGAGAUUAACGGGUUUUACAACCAAUCAGAGGUGAGAGCAUUUCGACUCAUAGCCAAUCAGAGGAGUACUGUAGGAGUACCGUACUGCGCAAGUGCAAACAGAUGCGUCCAUUUUUGUAGUCAUCUCUCAGUGAGAGCCAACACUCUUGACCGCGCUAGCAACACAAAAGAACUACAACAGUGGCUUGACUUCCUGUCAGCAGGGAGCACGGCUGCGCAUUUCUACUCUUCAAGCCAGGAGCUUGGAUACGUCAUUUUGUGAAAUUUUGUAGUUUUUUAAUCAUUUCUGGAGUCGUGGCGAAUCAAAUCACCUUACCCGUCUGCCUCUGAUCGGCGAAUAAAGCGCUCGGAUUUAUGCUCGGAUCUUUCUCCUCCCUUUAAGAGGAAAGUAAUCAACAACGGAGACAGAGAGCAGCUUUUGAGGAGAAACAUCAUGCAGUGUGAAAAACUUCAUAUUGAGUGUUUUGGUUCACACUAUCGGAGUUUUCUGUGAGUGUUGCAUGACUUUGGGUGAGCACAGAGAUGAACACACUUCAGCCACUUAUUUAUUUAUUCAUUUUUCUAGUAUUAAGCGCUGGUCUUGUACUGGCACCAUACUAGGGCAGCUGUUUCAACACUUUAUUUCUUAUAUUUGUGUUGAAUGGACACGUUAUCAUGACUGCCUCUUGCUUUACAGAAAGCAAAUAGUUUAUUAUUCUCCAGUGAAGAGUCUUUACUUUUAAUUAAUUUUAGUUUGUUUCAUCAAUGUUUUCAAAAAUGCGAUGAAGGUUCCGAAAAAUAAUAGGGCUGCAACAAUUAGUCAAUAUGCAUACUGUUUGCUGUUUUACAACUUGUAUUCUUUCUUUUGCUCAAGUUAAAUGUGGAGCAAAAGUUAUCGUCUGUUUCAGACAAAAGUUGACAACCUCCCACCAGGAUGUUAAGUGAACUGUUUAUUUUGUUGCUUGGGGAUAAACCAAUAGAAGAAAAAGAGUUCAGUUUCAGGGGCCAGUGCUACCGAUUCAAUUUCUAUGACCACAAAUUCUUUUAAAGCAUAAUAAGCCUAUGCUUCAAGUCCCCAUACUCUUUCAAGGCUUGAAAUGGCCUUGUCGUUACCUACAAAUCACAGCUCUCCACAAAGCUGCCCUCUCUGGGGCGAUAUGUCAGUGACCACAGGGGAGGAAAAAACAGAAGGCAACAGACACGAACAAGCCCCUGAAAAAUGUAAUGGUUUUUGCUGAGGAUUUAGCUAGUGGAAUGGUGGUGUGGGAGUAUCAUUCAUGUUUUCAGACGUAGCAGAUCGUCUUGGGAGAUGGUGAAUAUUAAAAGGCUUUGCUGGAGCUGCCCGUGCAAAGGAUCUUGACAGGAGAUUUGUUUAUGACCUUCAAAAAGGGGAAGGGAGUCAAUGAUAGCUCCAACGGCCUCUUUUGCAUCUCAAGGCAGCAGCUUCUCCUACAGAAAAAAAAAGCAAAGCUGCGGUUUUAUGUUUGUUACAUCCUGAUAGGCUAGGGGUACUCAGGACUAACAAAAAAAAGCAAUUGAAAAACCAGGUAAGGGUGGAAAUAAAAAGAGAAUGGCAAGAAUGUGCAAUAACUCAAGUAUUUUAAUAACGAAACUCAGGUCAGCACCACUACAAAAGUAAAACAAUCCUCACAAAGAUAAGGACGAUAAUAAUUAUAACAACAAAAACAAUCCUUUUCAAAACAGGACGACUAACUAAGAACAGGUGACAGCUACAAAAACUCACCAGAGGGAAAUAAGAGACACCACUUUGUCUAAACAAAGAUAAAAAAUCACUUUUCCAGUCACUAUACAUCCACACAGGUACAUGCUCACUUUCACAUGCAGACACAUCCACACAGAUCCUCUCACACUCACGUUUGGACACCCAAACACGUUUUCGUAACAAUGUUCAAGUAUUUAGAGUUGUCAUCUGAGCUGUGAGGCUCUCCCACUUCUCUUUAUCAAAUAGCCUCUUUUAAGUGCAAUGUGAAUGCAAUAAGGCAAAAGCUGUCUGCAAGAAAAAAAAAACGUGGCGGCUCAGAGAGGACGGCCUAGUUAGAUUGUUUGCAUCAAAGUACCAAAGUCGUGGCCGUCAAUUCAAGAAGUGGGAAAGAUACGAGAGUAAGAGUUGGAGGCUUGCUGACAGAAAACAAACUGCACUUUACUCAAUUUAGUAAGUUAUUGCUGACCAUAGAGGCCUCAACAUUUAAAGCUGAGCUCUGAUUUCGCCAAGAACUUAGUCAAAACUGCCAUAAUGAACUACACCAAGACAAAACACAUCAAUCUUACAACAAAAUUAUCAUUUUGCAGAGUGAGCAACACAGAAAUGUCUGUCAUAUUUAAAGUCAUGCAAGUUAACGCCUGUCUUUUCAUUCUGUUAAUACAAUUUGAGAGAGACAACACAUUUUUAACUCUCUUUUUAACUCAUUUUGACCUAACGAGUCUGAGAUACAGCGGCCACAUCGCUGAUAUAACAAGGCCUGAUUUCUUACAAUAUUCAAUUUUUGGCAAAUAUGAAAGCUGGUUCAACUAGCAAAUCAGUACACUUCAAUCAGAAAGACAAAUGGCCUCCGCUAUACAAACCAAUUACACUUUCCUGAUCUAUCUUCAUCUGCAGAAAAUUAAAAAAGGAAGAACUAAUAGUUAACCUUACAGUUAAAUUGCACAGAAAGUCCAUGAUGGGGUCUUCUCUGCAAGGAAAUUUUAGUCAGGAAAUGUUGUUGUUGUUGUCAGCACUUUAGCAAAGUACGAGUGAAUGCACGUUUUUCUCUGAAACACAUGCAGGCUUUGUGGCUUAAAAAAUAAACCAAUAACUCCAAGUUUGUAAAAGUAGAGGAUAUAAGACCUCGGCUACCCGAUAAUCAUGUUAGUCUAUAAAACGCUCCUCUUUAAUGUUAAUUCGGCCUCUCCAUGAUGGUACAAAAAAGGCAUUUGCAUUUUUCUUAGCAUAUGGCCUCUGAAUUUCAUGGUGUCUAAUCAUAGUGUUAUAGCCUUGGAACAGGUCCUAAAAGUGGCAUUUUAGUCUAUAAAAGUUAGUUGGAUGUUAUUUUGAAACUUACAAUUGCUCAUUCCUGUCUGAAACUCUGCCAAGCUUGUCUGACCAAAAGCACAUACACUCAGACACACACAAACAGCAAAGUGAUGCCUGAAAUAAUCAAUGACCCUGUUCAGGCUCAAUAUUUUUUACCCCAUCUAUGCAGGCUUUCUGAUGUGCUGAGAUUUUACCUGACCAAAGAGUAGACAAAUGACAGAUUCGCGAACGAUUCAUUCAAAAGAACCGAAUCUUUUAAGUGAACAUAUUGAACCGAAUCACUUCCUCGAGUGAUUCGUCCACUUCUCACUUAAGUUGAACUGAAGUGAGAAACUGCAUUGCCAGGCCAGCAAAUGAGGGCCCACAUGCACACCUGAAUCACUUGGUGAAGGAAUCACACACUGAACUACACUCUCUGGAAUCCUUUUUGUCGGACAAAACUACAUUUUUUUUCCACUGCUAAAUUGCCACCGCAACUUGCAUACAAUAGGACACAGCAUGUGACAAGUAGUGCAUUUAACCCGCAGCAUCCUAUCAUUGCAGCGGUUUGCGAGGGACCGGAGCAUGCUCAGUGUGAAUUCUUCUAAACGUUCAGUGAACAAAUCACUCAAAGACCCCAAUUUACCAAACAGACCUGAUAAAUAGCAUACCACAGGACAGUACACUUAAAACACAUGACUUAUAUACAAGUUCAUUUUUACAAACCUGUUUGCCAAAGUAACACAGCCAAACACUCUCAUCUCCUGGUCCCAGAGGCUAUGAAUUGAACUGAAUCCUGAAAAGUUCAGCUGUGUAUCAGUUCAGGAGGUCAGAGUCGCAGGCUUCUCCCACUAAAUGAUUCAGUGAUUUGGUGAACGAAUCUUUUGAACGAAUCUUUUUAGUAAACUGAUUAUAGUGAUUCAGUACAUCUAGAAGAACUGCCAUGCCCGUCACUACUAGGAAAUGUUGGACACAAAGAAAAAGUGAAAGAUUAGAGUAGAUUAGAGACAACUUUAUUUAUCCUUCUUGGAGUUCCCUCAAUGAAAUGAAAAGGAUUGGCUAGUACAAAGAGGCGGGUUUCACUUGAUGGUAGCUGAACAUGGAUUCUGGGGCCUUGCUGAUGGCAGCAUGUGGGACUCCAGACUGUCAAAAACUUGUUAGUCCCUCUGACCAAAGCCUUUAUGUCAAAGUUUGGCACUUUUGAAUCAAACUGAGGAGGCCAUGACUCCACCUGCUUCACCUGCUGCACAGCAAAUAAGUCGUAUCAGGUUGCAGAAAGCAAACGAAGUUAACCUCGCACACAAACUAUCCAGAGACAUUCGCUACUAACGCUAACAUAAACCAAAAGUUUAACCUAACAUCCACGGUGUUAAACAGCUUUACUCACCACAGAUGUCUUCAUGUUGGCCUUCAAACAAAAGUAAAAACGUCCCCAAACCGUGAAUGUUUGUGUGGCGCUCAGAGUAACAUCCGAGUUGCGUUUUCCCUGUUGCGGCUGUGCAACAUCAGAGACGCUCUGGUCCGGUUGUUGCGGAGACCCGUGUUUCCUCUUCGCCACAGAAGUUUCAGGGCUUGGUGGUGGUGAGGAUGUUUUCCAGCGUAUCUGUACUUUUAGUACCUUAAAAUAUUCCCAAAGUUUUCUCAAAGCCUGUCAAACUGUCACGCAUUUUUUUUAAAUAAUAUUAACUUUAUUGAACAUUUGGCCCUUGACAGUACAGACGGCAGACGGCUCAAUGCGUAUGUUAGAAAUCAAAUUAUUUGAAAAUCAUAACAAAUAAAAAACGUCUUAAAUAGCUUUAGCUGUUUUGCUUUAAUUUACAUCCUCAUCACAUCUUAGAUAAACAUAAUAAGUCAUCUUUUUUAUGCACACAUCAUGUGAACUACAGAGACCUUUCUUUGUUUGAAAAUGUAUGUAUCUAAAUGAAAGGUCCAGGGAUCAGUACAGCAACAUGAGCUACACCGCUAUACUUCCAUUUUUGGGCACAGAAGAAAGAUCACAGCCUCAGCUCAUCAUUUUACUCAUCCUUGGAGCCCAUCCUCAUCCUGAAGUAAAUACUUAAUGAUGCUCUUUGUCUGGCAGUAAGACCAAGGCCUUGACUCUCAAUAAGCUGGUUAGAGACCAGCCUGAGCUCUGAAUCACUCCAAUUUAGGGAUGUGGCACUUUUAAUCUUCCAAUAUCGUUUUUGCCUCUGGAGCCUUUCUUGGGUGAACUGGUGCAACUGUUAUUAAUCUUCAGUGCAAAGGCAAUUUCUCUAAAAGCCCCUAUUUGUUUUUUAUGGGUCCAUUGAGGGAGCAGGGUAUAGCAGCGGGGAGGGAGACUGUAAACAAGGUAUGCAGGGAAAGGCAAGUUAUGUCCCUGUCAGCAUUCAAUGCUGGUCCCUCUCUUUUUCUCUCCCUCCCUCUUUCCCUCUGCUUACCCUUAGAGGAUUAAAAAGAGGAAAAGGGGAGUUUUCAGAAAGCAAACUGAGCAAACUGGAGCGUCAGCAUGAAUUCAGCUGGACUGAGAAAUGAUUGUUCAGAAGAGCUGCACUAUCUCACUGCUGUGAAUGUGCGCUGAGCCAGUCUUUGUGAAACACAGAUAUUCAGUUUAUACACAUUGCAAGAAUAAUUUGCGAAAUGCAUCAUUAGCCCGCAUUUGUGUGUGUACACACAUCCAGUAUAGAUACUGUACCUGUAGAUAAUCUAAUUACAAAAAGCGAUAGAAGAGAAACGCAUAAAAAAAAACAAUUAAAAAGACUACAAUACAUUAAGCUUUCAUGUGUGUUAUUCUUUCUGCAUCUACACUGUGUCUUUAUCAUCACGACAGUGUUCCUGGUUUGAUCUUCAGCUCAUCUGCUGGACCACCUUCAGGCUUGGCAACCAUUGUCCACUGUCAGGGAAAACAGCAAUUAUGAUAUCAUUAGAGCAGGAUCCGAUACCUACAAAGCAGGGGACCCAGAGGGGCAAGAAGAAGACUCUCAGCAGGAACGGAUAACACAGUCUAGAGUCAGAUGCCCCCCAAUUACCAUUAAACAAGACAAACAGCCGUUGCAGCAGGCCAUUAGGCUGUAGGGAGAGCGGCUGGGGGCUUGUUUGGUUUAACAGUUUGGCAGGUUGUUAAAGUCACACAAAGUUUAAAAGAUGGUUGACUAUGAUAAAUGCCGUUGAAUGCAAAAAUGAGUCAGAGCCGUUGGUUGUGUUGUGUUAUAUGAUCAUGUGGCUUUAUUGCCAGAAAAAGAAAUAUGUUAUUUCAGGUUUACAGAGUAUACUACAGGGAAUCGUAUAGGUGAUGAAUAAUAAAAGACUAUGGCAUCUAUGAUUCAGUUAAACCAUGGUUACAGCACCAUUGAGUCUCAUACAUGUCCUCCUAAACGGAACAAUAUGGGAAUAUAUUUAGUAAUUUGUUAAAACGUUUUUUUUUUCCAAGUGUUAAAUCCAAAGAUAAUUGGAGAUUGUUGAACAUUAUAGAACAAGCUCAGUAGCAGUUGAUACAGUUUCACACCAAGGGUGGUGCUCAGUGAUCUAGUAGCUUUCAGGUGGCAGAGGCAGCAGCCACUUCUCUCACUUCUGCCCAUUCUAGUUCUCACAAUUUGACUGUAUUAAACACACAUACGGAAAAAAAAAAGAAAAGAAAAGAAAAAAGUUUCAUACUGAUUUGUGGGAAAUUUUACUUUAGAAGCUGACAUGAAAGCCAUUCAAAAGACUACAAUGAUAAAAUACCCCAAACGCAGCAAAACCAACUUUUUUUUGUCAUGUUAAAAAGAAAAAGAAACACACAGUGUGGAGAUCCAGACUUGUUGUUUGUCUUCCCUUGAGCUUUGGUAAAUCUAAAGGCGUAGAUUUCUUCAAACAGCCAGGCAGUUGGUGAGUAUACUUGGUAUGGACACUGAGUUGCAAGACCUCACUCACAAAGCCACAGAGUAUUGAUCCUCAUGCAUUAUAGAAGCAGUUUUGAGGCCAGCUGAUGUUGGGAGGUAUAACUUGCUCCCCCCCUGGAGCAUACACUUAAACAUGCCCACUGGACCAUGGCAGCAAUUAUCAGACACGGGUUGAGAUGAUAAACAUACGGAUAAUACAUCUAUUGCAUGUUUAUAUUAUCACAGUUAACACACAAUCAUCUGCCCUCCUUAUUCUCUUGUCAAACCUGACAAACUUCAUCCUGAGGAGAUAACAUGCCAUCGUGGCACACGGGCUAUCAGUCCUUUUUACUCUGUAUCAUCAGAGUAAAUCCACUGGAUGCAUCAUGGCUCACAGUAUGACCUCACAGGGGGGUGCUUUCAACAGCCUUGGCAACACCUAACUCUCCAAAGAAUUGAGUUUCACUGUCACCUCCAGGUCAGUGCUGCUUGAACCCAAAUGUGUGAAUCAAAACACCAGCGAUCCCACUGGGGUGCACAAAAGCCGGUCUCUUCUUCACACAGCUCUAUUGUAGAUGAAGUGUUAGGAAUAGUGAAGAAACAGAAAGAGAGGGAAAGAGAAAGAAGGGAAGGGUGAAGAUAUAAUUUUUAAUACUAGCUAUGGAGCAUUUUAAAAGAAGCCAAUUCUUAAAUGUCUGUGUUUACUCUGGUCUCAGUUUGUUUCCUUUAUUGCUGUUUUAUUAAAAUACACUCAUUAUUUGCUUAAAGCAUAUGUAAACUAAUUACAUUUUUAAAGCUCCUGUAAGGAGUUUUUUAAAUAUAUGAAAAAGGCUGAAAUAAACAAUGAUGUGUCUCUAUGUUGUAUAAAAGCAAAUAAGACCAUCCAUGACAGGAUUGGCAAUUUUUAAACUGUAAUUUUUAACUGCUGAACCCUGAAGAGACAACCUUUAUAACUUCUCCCACUGCAAAUAUUCACACAGAGUGAUAAAAUUAACUGAACACGGUCAACACAGACUUAAAGUUCCUCAUAGCACCUUUAAGUAAGUUUGCAUUAAACAAACACAUUUUCUAACAAGUUAAGUUUCAUACUUUCCCUGAAGACUUAUUAUAUUUAUCAAAUACAAAAGAAGUUAGUAUAUUAACAGCAAAAAAUGUGAGUUUUUUCUUUUUUUUAAAUACACAAAACUUGGUCUGCAAGGUACCAUUUAUCGGGUUUUACAGCAAAGUUACAUUUAACAUUUGGAGGAUUUACAUAUAGACUAAGUAGAUCUUCAAACACAAGUAACAUAUCUCACAGCUACAUCAAAAAUCCCCCUCCCUCUUCACAAUACUUGGCGCCUUCCACUGAUAGGUCCUGUUGAUAAACCAAUGACAGGCUUGUCCUCUGUUUUGAAGUUCCUGGUUGCAACAGUGGAGGCCAUGUGAAAGAAAAGAAACAGGUAACUAUCAUUUUGUUCAUGUUUUUAGUGUUUAAGCGCUUUGGUGUGGAGAUGGUUUUGAGAUGCUUCCUUGAGAAAAAGAAAGAAAGGGAGUUAGGUGUUAAAAUGCUAAGUCAUGCUAUGCUAGCCCACCACAGACCUCUGAGCCAGCUUGUUACCAUGCUAAAAACAGUAGUGUUACGGAGUCUGGAUAAAACCAGCCUAAUUUUGACCAUCUGGUGGUGUGUGUUGGACAGCACAAUUCACCUCCAUACUACCUGAACAGUAUUGUCAUGACCCAGCUCACCAGACAUGACAGAAAGAAGAGAAAAUACAUGGUCAGCUGAAUGAUGCAAAAGUGUAUUGCUAUAGAUUGUGCAAUAACUAAAACAGUGUACAGCAGCGGUGAGGUGUUUGUGUCAGCAAAUCAGUGUGUCGACUGUUGGGUGAGUGAAAGAUGUGUGGAGCAUGUUGGUCGCUGUGGAAAAUAAACAGAAGAGACAGUCAAAGUCAACUGAACAAAACCAGGCUGCCACGUGGAGCAGCUAGAGAGAGAGAGAGAGAGAGAGAGAGAGAGAGAGAGAGAGAGAGAGAGCAGAACAGAGGGAGGACUUAGAUCCAUCUGGGAGACUGGCCAGGUGUUCCCAGGUGUGGCCCACCAGCAACCUGCAGGGUGACAAGCGAAACACAGAGAAGCAGGCUCUGCACAAGUUGCUGUAUCUUGUCAAGCUGUUAUACAAUUGUCAAAGUAAUGCCCUGACAGUUAGUUUUAACUGUUUUUAUACUUCAUCAUACUUAACAUGAGUUUUGUUUUCAGUGCAGAUUUGUAAUGUGACAUAUGGCGACAUUGUGAGCAUUACUGUAGAUAUGUACAAUUCUGCUCUGGAGUGUAUUCAGUAUAGGAUGCACGGAUAGAUAUUAAACUGCACCAUUUUAGCUUUUAAUGUGUCAGAGAUGCAGGACACAUGCCUAUCAACAACACUGGAUUAAUUAGCCCUUAGAUUCAAUGGUAUCAGUAGAAGUGAAACAUCAAGUGUUUCAGUGCACACAAAGGAAGAUCCUCCAUGUCUCUUUGACUUAAACUGUAAAUAUGGAACAAGGCGGAGUCAUUGGUGAGCAGAUAAGAUAAGAUAAGAUAAGAUCACAAAUAUAACCUCAUGCAAGAAAAAAAAAUGCUUUUCUCUAAAAUAAUUGCAGUUGCUUGGUGAUGACAAAGCUGAGUUGUCUUUGCCAUAUCAUGAAUUCAAUGCUGCAUUUAUUUUUACAAGACUGACAUGUGACAAAAGUAAAAUGGAGACAGAUAAGAUGAAAUCUUCAAAGUUGACAGAAAACUUUGAGACAAGGAUUUCAAACAAUGAUGUGCAUGACACAUUUUUCUACCCACAAAUCACUUUUUUCAAACUCAUCCACGUUAGUCUCAGUAAGUGUUUCUGUUCUCUGUUGUGUAUUUGCUUUUAUUUAUAAAGCUUCAAAAAUGCAUUUGCUUCUUUAUUCACAUAUGCAACAACACACACUAGCACAAACAAAACAAGCCUGCAGGGAUAAGCUGUGCAUGGCAGGGCAAAUGCAAUUUACUUUCAAUCCAGAGAAACAACAGCAUGUCUCUCAUUUACCUGACUUGUGUUUCUCUUCUCUGCAUUUAAAGGGGAAAAUGGAGAAAGACAGGCAUUUAUAAAGCUGGUAUAUUUCAGAGUAGGCUCCCCUCAGCAGAGAUGAUACUCAUGAACCUUUCCCACAUGGGCAAGUGAAGGUAAGGGUAAAAGGGAGAUAGGUUUUUUUUUUUCUUACCUCAAAAAGUCAUCUUUGCUCACAUCACAUCUGCCUCUUGUUUCCUGGAGCAGGAGGCUCAAAACGGGCCUCUCUGCUGUUCUUGACAUCUUGGCUCUGUUAAUUGCAAUGUUAGCCGGCCGUGUUGGUAUUCACUUUAGGCUCCAGAAACAGAUGGCGUUUAACCAUAAAUAUUAUUCACACUUCUAAGCAUCCAAAGAUCCUGGGUGGGGGCUGUGAGGAAGAGCAGAUAUAAGGUUAAAACUAUCUUAAUUUCCAUUAGUGCAUCAAAGAGGAAAUUCAAGUUCAGAUGAGUUUAUAGGUGAGGUGAUGUUUGAUUAUCUGUGUAUCUGCUAGUAGGUAGGUCUGUGGAGGGAGGGAAAAAAGCGAUAUUUCCAAAAAUAUCUACACAGUUAUUUGUCACUCAACAUAACUGCUUAGUUCUGUCUGUGUCAGUGUGAUUUUUUACAUUUAAAGAUUAGAGAAAUAAUCCAGCGUUCUGUUCAUCUAGGAAGUCUAGGCUCAGGCUUUUUUGUGAGUGAGAUUCAUGUCUAAAUGUAUUUGCUUAUUUUCUGUUAAAUAGCAGGUAGUGUUAAUGAGCGGCAAUCAUACAUGGAUUAAUCUGACCGCUAACGCUCAUGAAGCAGCAUUCAUUGUGGCUUCUCCCCAAAGUGAUUAUGGUGGACAGUGGUGACAAAACAACCUGUUAUUUCAUGUUACUCAGAGUAUUUCUGUCACCUGCAGCUCCCCCAGUUGACGGGGAUGUCUAUUAUUUAUCUCAUUCAGGCGAGUGAGUGGCGAGUCUUCUGUGAGCAUUCUGCUUCCUCUCUCAGGUUCUUUAGUUUGAUUAAGAAACAGCUAAGGUUAGCGACAAUUUAAAAAAUACCUCACUCUGUGGAAAACUUGAGGAUGAACUAGCUCAUUUAUCAGGGAAUUAGCAAGCCAAAGGUGUUGACUGUUGAUAACUUGGAGUUUUCCAACUCCAAAUAUGGUAACCUCUGGCUCCAGAAAACUAAUAUGGUGGCAGUAGGACAAAUUAUAGUUGGAAAGUCUAUUAUUUCUAUCAUCUAUCGGCUUAAUAUCUGGAAGAAAAACCUCUAACAGUUUAUUAUCCCACAGUGCAAAUCAUAUAUUACUAUCAGAGUGACUGUAAGUGCAUGACAUUUGAAAAUGUCUUAUUCAGAAAGGAGGAAUGUCUCCAAAAUGUCUCAGCAUGAAUGUUUGCCCAAGAUAGCCUCUUGCUAAAUGUGCAUUCAUUGUGUCUAAAUGUGCUUCGAAAUGGCUUUGAAAUAUACAUGACAACCUAUCUAAGAGGGUCUGCAAAUGCACUUAAGUGUUGGGUUGUGGGAGAGGUGCUGGAGAGAUGGGAUGACAUGGAAUAUCUGAAAGGCACCCAAAGAGAAAAGGAGGAAGAGAGAAGAGAGAGACCGGGGAGAAUAAAAGUAAGCUGGUACUUUUACAUAGUGCAGGGCAGAGUGGCUUCUUUUGAUUACAUCCACAGGGGAAGCAGUGUAUGUGUGUGUGUGCGUGUGUGUGUGUGUGUGUGUGUGUGUGUGUGUGUGUGUGUGUGUGUGUGUGUGUGUGUGUGUGUGUGUGUGUGUGUGUGUGUGUGUGCGUGUGUGUGUGUUCAUGCAAGAGUGAGUAACUGUGUCUCUUUUUGAGUGUCUUGUUGUUUCUGGCUUUGUAGAGGGAAAUAGAGAAAAGCUUUUGUUUGGGUUUUCUUUUUGUAUUUAUACGUCUGUUACUGUGUGGGAGAGAGAGAGAGAGAGAGAGUAUGUUUGUGUGUGCGCAAGAAAAAGAAGGGGAAAACUGUGCUCUGGUAUGAGUGAAAGGGGGCUAUGUGCCUGAGCAUGCACCGACAUGUCACAUUGUAUUUGUCACAUUCAAAGGGAGAGCACCCGGAGUCCCUGCUGCCCUGACCCUGCAGUCGGUUGGUGCUGUCUUGCUGCGACCACACAACAGUCACCAUCUCUGGGGUUAUGGGACUGAAGAUCGCUGACCCUUGGUGACCCUUGGUGACCCGUCGGCAACCCCUUGAGUGCCUUUUGCUUAUCCCACAUGUACUGAACUCUUGCAUACACCUCGGGGAGACAUGGUGUUGUAAAACAUUAGCUAUCCCAGCAAUCGGUUUCAGUUGAUUAUUUUGCAAAUACAUUGGGGUAAGUUGAGUAUUUUUCUACCCACCCACUGUAUUUCUGCAGGACUAGAACCACAGGAGAUCGGUAGUCUAUGAAUUGAAGUGAUUACAGUCGGGUUUCAGGUGGAUCAUCUGCUCUCUCGUCUCAGUACUUAACAGGUGCAAGAGUUACUGCUGUAGUUACCCUGGAGACAGCGAUUUGAAAGGGCAGACAAAAGUGCUUCAAGAUUGGUCGGGUUAAUGGGUAAAGGCUACGCUUUACUGUAAAGUGCAGGCUGACUCUGAGAAAAAUGACAUUUUUGACAAAGUUGAGCUUUCUGUUGGAGAUUUAUGGACUGUAUAUUUGUGACUUUUGCUGUGGUGUGAAAAUAACACUUUUCUGUGCAUAUAAUGUCUGUUCAUUGUAGUCUGUUCAGUAAUGGCUGUAUUGUAGAAGCAGACCUCUGCUUGCUGUUAUACCUCAACAUCUGUUUGCUUUUCUAAAUUCUUACACAAACACAUUUUAUGAUCCAUGGAUUCAAGUAGAGGUGAUAAUUUAGCCUUAGCCUCUUUAUAGAGAGCUGGUAACAAUGUUAGACUUAGGUAUGGUGCGGUAUGAUAUGUUGGUGUCUUUUUAUUUGGUUCUGGCUUGUUCGCAAACCUUAUGAAUUCUUAAUUUUUGACCACAGGAAACAUCUGUUGGUCUCAGGUUCUAUGUUCAGUGAUACAUCUUGUGAUCUCCUACAUUCUCACAUUGUUGGUGGAAAGUGAGUCCAGCUGUAAAGUGCUUCCUUCAGAGACUUUUGGCUCAGGUGAACUUUUUCCCUUCAAAUUCUUAGAUUUUUUUAAAGUAAUGGUUUGCCAAAGUGGGUUUUCAUACUCCCCAGCAUGUCAAUCACUGCAGUUUGCCAGUAUCUGCAUUAAAACUGAGGAGAGAACUUUGACGCUACAUUAUGAAGGGAAAACGUUUUAUUUCGUAGUUGUCACUUAGUGAUCUAUGUGCUUGGUUUUUUGAUCAUUUACAGGAGUAGAAUCAAGUAUUCAUACAUUGUCUUUGUGUAAAUUGCUGUGCAGUAUGAGCAUACACAAACACAUUUCUAUUAAAAAAUAAAAAAGAGAAAAGAAAACUUUUAGCCCUCAGUUUUGACUCCAGGCAAAUGAACAGAGCGGCCAUUCUGGGCUCACCUCAGGGCAUCGACCUGAGCCAAAGCAAUUACACAAAUAAGCCUCUGCAGUUCAGUCCUGUGUGAGACAAGCAGACGUGCCAGAUACCUUCGCAGUUCUAAUUGAGAGAAAAAUCUUUCUGCAAACUCGCGCCUCUUAACAAUGCCUCCAACUCACGGGCCCCCUUGGGCUGUAGCUGUUUCUCGCUGCUGUUGUUUUGUCCUUCAUGUUGAGUGUUUACAUCAGUCCUUUAAUUAAUUAGCUUUAUGAAAAAACUCAGUCUUAUCAAAAGCAGGUCAGGAAAUGUUUCUGUAUUGUGCAGUUAUUGUGAUAGAAAUCUCACAUACGCUGUUGUCAAUUAUGAUUUAAUUAAUCUGAUGAUAACAAUAGCAGCCACCUGGCAUGGGAAUAGAGAGUUUUUAUGGUAUCCUUUAAAUGACUGUUAUUUUUCCAUAAAGGCAAUCAUGCAUACACCUUCAGCGUCUUACAACUGAAGCGUUCAUGUCUUUGAAAUUCACACCUUUCCCUCAAUUCUUCAGGGUGUUUAAGCUUUUUUUGUUGUGUUUUGAAAUUUUAGGCCACAAAUACAACUUUUUUUAUACCUAUUCUGCCAAAACAGGGAGCUGGUUUCACAACGAAGAACCUGAAACCCUGUGGACUAUCAUCCUGGCACCGAACAACCCACUGACAAAAGUCACGACUUACCUAACAUUUCAAUAAAAUGCUUAGAGGACUGCUAUUUCCUGGCUGUGCUGCUUAAAUGCAGUGAUUUCUCGAGAUUCUCUGAAGCUUUUGACGAUAUUACGGACCGUAGAUGUUGAAAUCCCUAAAUUCCUUGCAAUUGUACUUUGUUGUUCUUAAACUGUUUGACUAUUUGCUCACGCAGUUGCUCACAAAGUGGUGAACCUCGCCUCAUCCUUGCUUGUGAAUGACUGAGAAUUUUUGGGGAAGCUGCUUUUUAUACCCAAUCAUGGCACCCACCUGUUCCCAAUUAGCCUGCUCAUCUGUGGGAUGUUCCAAAUAGGUGUUUGAUGAGCAUUCCUCAGAUUUCUCAGUAUUUUUUGCCACCUUUCCCAACUUCUAUGUCAUGUGUUGCUGCCAUCAAAUUCUAAAGUUAAUGGUUAUUUGCAAAAAAAUAAAUAAAUAAAGUUUAUGUGUAUGAACAUAAAUAUCUUGUCUUUGUAGUGUAUUCAAUUGAAUAUAGGUUGCAAAGGAUUUGCAAAUCAUUGUUUUCUGAUUUAUUUAUGUUUAUCACAAUUUUCUAACUUCAAUGGAAUUUGGUUUUGUAGAUUUAAGUCAUUUAAAGACAAAUUCACCAAAAAGCUCUAAAAAGGUCAUGUUGACAUGGACUUGAAUUUCAUAUGAAGGGUUGUUUUUCUUUGUCUGGUGAAUUAAAUACUGAAAUAUCUGCUGUUUUUGUGCAUGAAUCCUAGUCCAGUGGGUUUAAAAUGUUGGUUUUCAAGGAUGUAGACAAAGACACAGAAACUGAUAUGACUGCUGGGUUUUAAUGCACAUAUAGAUUGGUCAUAUGUCAAUCAUUUACCCUGCCAAUAAUCCAGUAAAUGAGCUCCAAUGCUAAUUCCCUGCAGGAUGAUUGAGUUGUAAUAGUAGCCAUGACUCUUAAUGUGUCCCCCUGUUUAGGACUUAACUGAAUAAUUUAUGCAUGGGUAAAAGGAUCACUGGUAAAGCUUUCAGAAUCAAGUGCUAUUUCCAUUUCUGUACCCACAUCCACUAUAGCGGUCAUGACCUUUGCCUUGUUGUAUGACACCAGACUGAACUGUGGAUGAAAACAAAGGAGCAGGGAGACAAAUAAAACAAAAGAAACAGACAAAUGUAAGGACAGGGAGACAAAAGGGAGUACAUGUAAGGAAAAAGGAGAGGGAGUGAUAGAGCAGUGGGAGGUUUAUGCUGUUUGUCAGCACAAAGAGAGCAAAAUGUCACUUUUUGUGCAGCAUCAGUGAGUGAUGGCUGCCAUUAUCCCACCCAAUGGAUAUAAGCAGGCAAUAUUAGCACACAGUUUCCACACCCUGAUGAAACAGGCAGAGUUCUCCACAGUGGGGAUACCCAGAGCCAGCAUGGAAAAUGGAGUGUGAAAGCAUGUGAGGCAUAAAGAUUGGUGGGGGGAGAUAUAAAAAGACGAGAGGAGGGCAAUAAAGACAGGAAAAGGGAGCAGGUGUCGCCACACACUAAAGGAAAAAACCACGAGGAGGCUCGUGUCAAAUAUAGAGGACAUUUUAACAAAGGAACCAAGUGUCCCUGUUGUUUCAGAAGUUCCUGUGGUGUUUUAAAUAUAAUGGUCCCUCUCAACAUGGACCACAUGGUGCGAUCUGACAUCCGCUGAACAAAGUGGCUGAGGCAGACAUGGUGGUUUGGGGCACUGCAGUGGGACAUGGAGAGGAGUAAUUAUAGAACAGGAACACCUCAGCAGCUCUUUCAGCACAGAACAAAACUCGCAGUAAUUGUUUCAGCAGUAUGAAUGGGUGAGGAUGUGUUUGAGUCGGCGAGUAGGAGACAGAAAGAUACACUCAGAGAGGUUUAAAUGUAGUAAUAUAUGUAAAUCAUGCGGACUGGGAUUCAUGGGACUCAUUUUGAAUUGAAUGUCUGCAACCCGUUCCAAAAAGGUGGAAAGGGGAGCUUGCUGUGUAAAAAGUUAUAACCCUAACCCUAUGCACACAAAAUGUCUCAGAAAAUGUUGCUCAACAAAUCUAAUAAAACUCAGAGUAAUAUUCAUAUUUUUUUUCUCUCCUUUGAAGAGUAUAACUCAAUCUCUGGUCUCCAAUGAUAUACACCAAAUAGGCAAAAUGUUUGUCUAUUUAUUCUUGAUCUUGGAGCUUUAACUCUGUUAACCCUUUGCUAAAUUUUGCAUAUCAAGCAAUAUCAUAAAAGUGCACUUUCACAGGUAUGGUGUUAUGCUUCCCUAAAAACACUGAUCAUGCUCAUUUAACUUUUCCUACUGAUUUUGCCUUUGAAACAAAUCCAUCUCUCACUGCAGAGAGUUAAUUCCCAUCCGACACACAAUUUUGAAAUGAAAAAGCAAGCAAAUUAAAGACAUUCAUACACAGGAUGCACCCUAUGGAGGAUAUCUCCUAUUGAUUUCUUUUCCUUUUCCUACUUUUCCAAGGUGAGCAUUAGACCCAGGAAAUAAUUGUAAUUAUAAGUUUAAAUAGAAAAUUAAUAAAAGUUAAGGUGACAAGCAUGAUGUGUGAUCCUUAAAUGCAAAGUUCUGUAAUAAUAACAUUGAUUUUUAUUUGCUUUCUCAAUCACUGGCCUUAAAGGCUGCAUCUUUUGUCAGGUUUAAGCGUGAGUAGGUGUUCGAUUUAAUGGUAGUGGUUUUAUUACAAGCUAGAGUACAAUAUGAGAGGCCUGGCAUAUUAAUGAUUCAGUGGGUAUUGAUCAGUAUCCAGUCUGAUCCCAGAAGACAGGCUAUACUAUGAUUAUUGUGUGGCUGAAUAGUAAAAAUCGACAAAAAACCUCAUCGUCUGUUCAAUAACAUUCAUUGCCAAAAUGUAAUCGUAGACACAAUGCUAAACCUUUAUUGACCUGGCAGGUUUUCAUCCUUGCUUUGCUACUCCGAAAAAAAAAUAUGAAAGUUUUAAAGUCUGCCAAAAUCCAGACACUUAAAAUUGCUUUCAUUUUCAAACAGGACACCACGCUGGUGUGUCAAGAUGGAGCUGCGAAGACGAAUCUGCCUCGGUGAGUGACUCACAGUCCCCUGGGCCCUCAAUCAAUGUUAUUUUCCCUCUGAGAUUUGUAACGGCAUGUGUAAUGGCCCUUAUAUGUGCUUCCCUUGAUGAUGCAGGUAAGAAAAACAAAGUGAAUGACUCAGGAAAUCAAAGCAAUGGUAGAAAAUGGCACGAUGAGUCAGAGGUACAGAGGACAUCUUUUUUACCCUUUAAACAAGUAGCAAAGUAGCAUAAAUCCCCUGAAAAGCUUCUCUGUCUUUGUCAAUCUUAUCUACACUCUAGUACAGGAAUACACAAGGUUGAAAUAGCAGCAGAAUCCAGACAGAUAAGUCUAAGCAAUUUCAAAGCAAACCAACAUAUAGUUCAGCCCACAUCUGACCCCAUCUCAGUCCUUUUUACCAGCUGUGGCUCCCCUACAACAACUCCCUCCCCGAGCAUCCCUCUCUAUAUAAAACAAGUCAACAAUAUGAAGCCAGCAAAGCAAUCAAAACAAAGAUCUCGCUGUGUACAUUUGAUUGAGAACUGAGGGGAGGUGAGGAGAGGUGAGACUGAAAAAAACGGUAUUUCUCGGCUACAAAGACUUUCUCUCUCAGGAAAAGGUGGAAAUGAAGUGAAAAUGGUAAGGUGUCAGCAUCAAAAGGAGAUUAUUUGUUUCCAGUGUUGGAGGAGGGCAGUGACACAAGGUACACAUUAAGAGGUGGAAGAUGAUGUAGUAGCAACAGAUUUUUUUUUUUUUUAUUCCAGCCUGUUAGUACAAGUACAGCUAUGAAAGGAUUACUGAACAAGCCAAACACGGGUCAGGAAGCCACAGCUGUUUAAAAUGAGUAUUUUCUGUUGGAAAGUCAACUUCAAGAACUUUAAAGAUGCACAAACCAAGAAAUCUUUCAUAUCAGGUGCAGGGACAUGUAUGUGUAUAUAUGUAUUUAUUUAUUUAUUUUCCUCCCCCUCCCUUUUUUUUUUUUUUUUUUUGGGGUCGUGCUUGUCUUUUCUUUUUUUUUAAUAUAUAUUAGUUUGUAGAUAUUUAUUUAUUUAUUUUUACAGGUUUUACGUUUUCCCCUUUCUUUCCUUUUUUUACUGAGUUCUGCUUAUUCAUCUGUUUCCACUCGCUCAGACCUUAUUGAUGUAUGCAAUGCUGUAUUGUUGUUAUGUUCUAAAAAUGGAAUAAAAUCUGAUUAUUAAAAAAAAAAAGAUGCACAAACCAACCACAGGAAGUCACCAGUGUUUGACUUAUCCACUUCACCAACCAUGUGAUGGAGAUUUCUUUAGAAAAGACAUUGCCUCAUAAAAUGAUUUUUUUGAUAUGCUUUUCUUUCAAUAUUUUUUUGUCCUGUGUUUGGGUUGCAUCAUUUGUACUUACUACUUGUGAUUUUACUGUAUCGUCAAACUAUGCUUUUAUUUUGAAGUAUAGGCUCAGUCCUGUAGACCUGUUUGAUGACUGAAUGAAAAAGUAAAAAGAGAAAGUAUAAUCUUACAAAUGAUUGGUACUCAAAGCGACACAAGCUCUAAAAUUGAGGGGAGAUUAAUAACUAAAUAAAGACUUAAAACAACAACAAAAUCAUCGAUUGAUCAUGAUUUUUUCCUGUAGCAUCUGUAACAAUCUUAGAGGUAUUUCAGCUGCAGCCCUGAUUUUAACAAAGGGAGUAUGAUAAAAUAUAAAAACAGGAUUCAAAGCAAUAAAUAUACAUAAUUACACAUCUAAUACGUCAGCCCGUUAAGUCUCGUCAGGAAAGCAUAAUCAAGAACUUCCAUUCAGACAAAGAAUAGAUAAAGUACCGAUACAACCACAAAAGGGCACAAAACUAACACCGAGACAGAAGAAGAACAAAAGAGAGAAAAUGAAUACAAAGAGGCAUAAAACGAGCACAGACACUGACACAUACAAUAACUUUGAAAGUCUAAUUUUGUCUUUUGAAUAGAAGCAACAAAGAGAAAACAAACGACUGCAAUCGCAUCACUUUCAGUCUGAGUGGAAGUUGAGCUGCUGACAGAGGAGCUUUGUUAUAAACUGUUGCUCUGUUAACCCUGGUCUGAAGUGAAAAACUCUGUGAUGCUCCCUCAUUGCAACAAAGGAAUGGCACUGCAUUGACAACCAGACUGAAGGACAUGACUGCUUUUCCAUCAACACAACAGGAGAUCACACGGUGGCUUUAAUGUGACUGUUAUCGUUUGAUAGCUGACAGUUGGUUUAAAAUGAUCUUUAUCCUUCAAUUUCUACACAUGGUAGUUUUUUUACACAGAUUUAACCAUCUCUACAGUAACUUUGUUUUACACUUCCUGCAGACAUUUCUGGCAUUUUUCAUCAUUGAGCCAAAUGUGAUGUUGAGUUUCACUUUUGGGAAAUGAGGACAGCGUGCGUCUCUUACUCUAAUCCGGCUCUAUCAGUCGGAUGAACUUGGUUUCCCGCUGUGACAGCUGAAAAUGUGUGGGUGACAGAACAAACAAAGGUGAAUCAACGCGUUUCCCGGCGGAAGAGACAAAGAGAUUGAGAGUAGGAAAGAGAGAGGGAGAGAGUGGGAGAAAGACAGAGAGAUGAAGGUGGCAGCGCGACAUGGGGAGUGUGACAGUGUCAUGCGGGCUGGUUUCAUCGUUUCUCUCCAGCGCCCUAGGGAGAUCAUUAGCUCACAAUAUGGAGUCUAUCAAUCCUCACAGAAUACCACUCUCCCCUCCAGAUACAUGUCCCGUCUGUCUGCCUCUAUCUCUGUAUCUAUCUAUCUGUCUGUCUGUUUGUCUACACACUGCUCGAAGAUGUGAACACACGAUUAUGAAAAUCAAGUUAAAAACUAAGUUGUACGUUAGCUCGCCCUCUGGGGGUCUUUUCUGACAAAAGAGUCACCUAAUGAGAAACUAUUAGCCCUAAAUGAAAGCUCAACUCCUCCAAGUUUGUGUGCUUGUUGAUUCUCUGUGUUUUAAUUUCACUUUGCUUGAGGUUUACAAUUUUAGAGUCAAUAUGUUCAAAACAAGGGAAGCGUAGGAGAGAAAAGGCAGUUUACUUGGUGUUAGUUUGUGAGCGACAGGUCGGUGUUCAGUCAAAGCUCCCGUGACUGCUUUUGCUGACUUGAGAACGAACUGAAAUUAAAACUGUUUAAAAAAAAACGUCUUUUUGACACGUUUGUACAAGCUCAGUGUGUGCAAAGCAAGUGAGCAAAAGAUCUUUUUGCUCACUGAAAUAUGAAAAAUGUACUCCUCAGUCAGAGAGAAUUUGUCACAAAGGCCUGCCUCUAAUACAGGCCUGCUUCAAAGAGAGGCCUAGGACUUUGAACAGAUAAAGAAACUGUCUUCUAUUUCAGGAGUUCUGAUAUUGUACUGAAUUUUCCACAAAACCCUGAAAACGUGGAGUCACUUGUGAAGUCACCUGAAGUUUUAGCUUAAAGCUCCAAGCUCUUAUUAGCUGCAGAACGAGGAGUGAGGAUGUUAUGCACAUACUAGGGGUAGGACUCUUUUUCUUGCUUGGUUUGUAUUCUGUGAAAACAGUAUAGACUUUGACUUGUCUUGGCGUCCCCUGGGAAGAUAUGACUCCUUUUCCCCGUGCGCCUAAGAACUGCUCAGUGUAUAUGUGAACCUUUGACUUGAACUACAAGGAGGAAAAGGGGGCAGAUUGGCAGGUGAACAACAGGAACAAAGCUUAUAUCUAUCUAUACUAUAAAUUUCAGUGACUCACACAGUGUGUUUAACACUUUAUGGGAACAGUCAUGUGGACUGUUCUGCCUACCUCUUUAAACAGAGUUGGUUGGCGUGUCAGAUCAUGAUUUGUAUCUUUUUGCACGCAAAUUGUAUGUUACAAUGGCAUGCUGUUUAAUGCAUAACAGCCAGCCCAAGCCUCAAUGGGGCCUUAUGCAAAAUUUGAUUUUGGGGCCCUCUAUUUCUGCCAAUAAUAUUGAUUGAUGAUCACUCACCCACCUUCACAAAUCUCUUUGAUUUACAUUCCAUGACAUGCAAACAUACCUUUAUCUUGGCGUUUUUUUCUUCCUCUUUCUUUUCUCUGCUCCUGAAGGAUAUGUCUUUUUUUGCGACAUUGUUUUGCCCACAACUAACUGCUCUUUGGAUGCUCGGUGCACAUUGCACAGCAGGAGGCACAUAACGGCAGCAGAGCUUUGACAUAUCAGCAGUAAGAAUCAUAGGCCUAAAUCAGCAGCAGCGUUUAAAUGUUUUUACUUUAUUUUAUUUUUACUAUAAUAUAUAUUUGAUUAUACAGAAAGCAUCACUCAUACAUGCAAAAAAUAAAAGAAAAUUUUGAUUGCUCUUGGGGGCCCCCUAUUGGCCGCGGGGCCCUAAGAGGUCACGUAUUGUUAAAAUGUGACUGGAUGGAAAAAUCAAGCAGUUCGGUCUCACAUUUUGAAACCAUGCAGAGAUGGUACUGUGUUCUCCAAAAACAAAAAAACAAAUGCACCAGUGACCCUGAUGGCAAAGAGGUGACUGUGUCUCUAAUUGGAAAAGGAUGGCAGGCACGCACGCACGCACACACACACCAACAGAGACCCUCUGGGAGGUAAUCUCUCUUCCUGUUCCGGCUAUGCCUGACCAGCCAAGCGGAGCUGCCACCUCAUUGUGUCCUUCUGUACCAAGACCCUGUAAGGUUUUCCUGCAAGCAUACACACAGAGAAAGACAGAGAGAGAGAGAAGGAGAGAGAGAGGUAAAGCUACAAUGAGACACACGUCAUGACACACACAUACACACAGGACCAGGGCUGCAAGGAUCCCCAUGCCCUGCAGGACAAACAAAAAGAUUUUACAGAGGGUGCAGCACCUGAUUCACAGCCUGCCGUUUAAUGUGUUUGUAUCUGGGAGUGGUUGUUCACAUGUUUGUUCAUAUUGAUGGUCUGACCGUAAAACUGGCUAAAUGCACCACGGUUGCAACAUUAAAAACCAGCUGCUUUAAAUGAGGAACAAAUGAGUCCUGGCAGCACAGUACGUUUUUGUCGUAAUUAAAAAUAGGACAAAUGCAGGAAAAACAUCGUACAAGAGCUCAUAGACACACGGAGAGAGGUUGCAGGUGCAGUGUAGUAGUAUUAAGCUUCAUUCACUUAAACGGACUUUGUUGAAAUAAUUGUUUAAUUACUGGAAAACACAAAAUAUAUAUUUUUUACUAACUCAAAAUGAGCUCUUUAGGGAGUAUCCUUUUACAGAAGCCACUGCCAUGUCUCUACCACAGCACAGGAUGGACAAACUAGUGAAAUAUGCUUAGUUUUAUUUAAUAAGUAGCUGUCAUGAAGCAGAGAAAGAAGAAAGUGGUUGUUGUAGGCAAAAUAAUUGUUUUUGUAGACACUUUUUAAUUGCCUUCAACGGCCACUGACAGGAGGGGUGAGCAGGGGAGCAUCUGACUGACAGAUAUUGCUAAAUAUCCCCAUUUCCACAUACUUUAAAUUACUUAUUACGCAUGUGUUCAAGAGAUGAAAUGAUGCAGAGAGUUUCAGUGGCAAAAUAAUAAAAGACAAGCUGGUGUUUUACAAUUAAAAAAUGUAUCACAUUGUCCAGAGAGCAAACCUGCCUCUGUUAACUCACGUGGGACCGCCCGACAAUCUUGCCUUUAAAGAUUCUGACAGUGUACAAGACACAAAUGUGAGCAUGCAAAAGGCACAUGGAGGUCAAAUAAAAGUAAAUGAGCCAGGCAAUUUGAAACUCAAACUCACAAUGCAUCAACACAUGUUUAAUAGAUAUCAACGACCCCAUAAAUGUAAUUUAAAUUGAUGUAUGGGGGGUAAUAAACCCUCUGUUUAAUGGCUUCCUCUCUGCAGAAGGCCCACUUGUUCUGUUUCCUCUGUUGUACACAACUUUUCCCGCCUUCAUACACACAUACACACACACACACACACAUUUUCUGUUCCGUAUCACUCACUGUGUGUUUAUGUGAAAUCCUGCAUCCUCUUACUUUACUUUUUUCAAUUUGUUUCACCUAAGAGGUUUUUAAAAAUUCAUUAACGUUUUGCGCAAAAACACUUCUGGGACUCUCCAUAUUGAUUUCUUAUUAAUAGGUUGUUUGUUGUAAAAAAUUAUUUUCUUCUCCAGGCAAUGAAUAUGAAGAGUUGGGAUGCAGUUGGUGAAAAAACAUGGCCCUAGGAGCUACAACCAGCAGAGGGGAAAAACAUGAAUAUCUUUAUUUAUUUGAUUAAAAAAAAACAACAACAACACUGAGGUAAUCAUUCACUGUCAUUUUAUACGACAUAUACAUGCAAUAAUGAUCUCGGUCUAUUUUACUCCUUUAGCUUUUAUUUGGAUCAAUCUUUAUGUGUGUGCAUGCAUGCAUGUCAUCGAUAAUAAUAAAGAAAGUAUAUUACUGACACAAUGCAUUCUUUAAACAAUGAUUUACUGUAGAAAUAAAUAAUGUUGCUUAGUGAAUGUGUCAUGUGGUCGAUAUGGUUCGGUCACUUCCUACUUUGUGCAAAUGUUUGUGCAUCUAUAAAAGAAGAGCUGCAUGAAAAGCUUUGCACAGCUCUUUAUGCAUGUGCAGCAGUACUCCUCACAACCUGUAAACAGCUUAUGAUGUGCCCAGUCAAUAGAGUUCACCUUGGUGCAAAGUAUUAAGGCAGUGUGGUCUGCAAGUUCUGUGGCAGCUGUGUAAAAGAUCUCUUUCUACUGGUAGGGGUAAGCCAAGCCAUCCAAGGUUGUAUUUUUAUCUGUUUGUUUUUAGAAAGCUAUUCAAAGGCUAAUUUCACUUAAGUCCAGCUUUCUGCAAACAUCUGCGAAAAUAUGUAAUCACAAGGAACUUUGUCUCGUUUGUGGCGCCCCCUGUGGGCAAAACCAUCUUGCAUCUUUGAAAAAGUGUAACACUUAUUGUUAAUAUUUGCCGUGAUUUCAUUUUCCGUGGUCACAGGCAUUAAAUAUUUACAAUGGCUAACAGGGUCUGAUCUGCAACCGUCCAAAUAGUCUUCUUUGCAACAAUGGUGCAACUACAUAAACACACGCCAAAGCCCAAUUAAACUCGACAGCCAUGGAAUGCAGUGCAAAUGUUGGGAUUUGUCGCAAGAAGCCCGAACAACUGCUCAAAAAGUACUCAAAAUACGCUGAGACCGUGUAAACAAAGCAGAAACAAGACGAGAGAUUUAUUAAUGAUCAGAUUAAAAGAUACAUACACAGAGUGUAUAUACUAUGGACAACUUGGUUCCGCCUUCCUUCAGUAUACGGACCUGAAGCCGAAAAUCUCUCUGUAAUUCUGUGUUUUUUCUCAAUUUCCUGAAACCAACAUUGUGCAGUAGCGUUGUACGCACUCGGGCAGGAGAGUCGUCAAGAGUCGCUGUUAUGAUGCUUGGCUCAAACAGCGUAUUACCCCGGCUGAGUUACACAAGCCUUGUACACCCAUAGGCUGUAUCAAGUGUCAAUCAUAGAAAACACGAACCCCCUAAUAACUUUUAAAAACGGAGCUGCACAGAAGAAAAAAAGGACUUGAGCACAAACCAGGCUUACAGUAAACUUAUGUCAACAUCGCAAGCAGGGGGUAAAAAUUUAUAUUCUGUGUAAUAAAUUUCUAAAGUUUGUCCACAGCUCUAUAAGCUUUGCUGGUGGAGGCGGGAUUUAUGACCUAUACUGCAGCCUGUCAACAGAGGGUGCUGUUCUCGGAGUUUUAGUUUCUACUCCAAAACUUAACCCAAAGUACCGGGUUCAGUUCAGGAAAGUUUGUGGUUUACAAGUGGCUUUCUUGAUUAAUUCUAGAUCUUAGUGAUGUAAGCUUUUUGACAUUUACGUUUAUCUCAAGGGUAACACCUAAAGUUGAGUUCACUGCAGACAGAGAUGAACCCAAACCUCCUGGGUGAAUGUUUGGUCUCAGUUUGAAUCCUGCUCCAUCUUUACUAUGACUUUCUGUGCCAUAUACAACGACGGCUGACUUCCUCCUUUGCUCUGUCCAAACAGCCACUAAAGGUCACAUAAGUUACUUGCACUGACAGUCUACAUUCAUAUUUGUGGGAGAAAGGUCUGCUCUGGCAGAUACACCACACUAUUACAGCACAUCCACUGUAGCAUGUGUUGAGCAGCUCUUGUUACCGCGUUAUUGAAGCUGUCAUCCUGAUUCAGUCUAUUUACCGCCUUUUUCGGGGUUUGUUUACUGCACACUGUAACUCAUGCCACCAACAGACAGACCAUUCCUCUCCCCUGAACGUAUAAAACUUUUACUGGGCUGACAAACUGCAACCGUCGGCUGGAAGGCCGGGAAGUUUGGGAAAGGAGGAGGCUGGCGAGGGAAGAAAAGAAGGGAUUUAUGGCUGCUUGUAAAUUUGUCUAUCAGAGCUUUCAUUCUUAUCAGCUACAUUUGCUCUAUUGGCUUCACAAUGAGCUGUCUAGACUGCACUCCAAAUGAAAUCAAUUCUUCCCUUCUCACACAGUACAUUCUACUUAAAAUGAGAAGCUGUUUUAUUUUGGGAGAGAGGGGAAUAAAAGAAAUGUUACUUUGCUAGCUGCUAAACACAUUUCAUUAGUGGAUGGAUCGUGUUUCACACAUCAGCGAGAACAAGGAGGAUGAAUGAGAAGUAACAGAAAAAAGGAUUUAGAGAUGUGGAUUUAUGCGAAGCUGGAAAACUCACCUUUCUGUUGCACCAGAAUCUCUCUCAUUAGCUUUAUGAAUUUAACAUCAUGGCGGGGAAAGCCAGAGUACUGAGUCGGCCCGCUCUGUUUGUUCGGGGAGCUGGUGAUUAUUGUUUAUUACUUCAAUAAAAGCCAUACAAUCCUCUGCCUUCCUGCGCCCAGCUGGUAGAAUGACAACUUAAAUAUUCUGAGCCGUGCAGCUGUAAAAUAAAAACAGAAUGAGUAAAAAAUAAAGAGUGUGCAGAAGCUGGCGAACUUCCCCUUCGGUUUUUCUUUUAUUUUUUUAUACACCUCCAGUUUUGGAUCGAGAAAUGGACCCACACUAAAAACAGACGGCUUGGCUCUUCAACAAUGAUUAAUGUAAGGAUUCUGUUCUUUACCGGCAUGCGUUCACGUCCCCACACACUCAUAUACACUCUUACAAAGUCUGAUUCACACACAAACAAGCACAAACCCACACAAAUACGCAAGUACAAACUAAUCACAUGCCCAGAGGACACGACAUAACGAGAUAAACCACCACAAUUUUGCAUGCACAAUAAUUACAGCAGAGUAUCAUACAUACUCUGCACCAAUUAAGCUAACGCAAUUAACUCCAGGGCCGUGGAGGAUCUUCGAGGCUUCGUGAACCUUAUGAGGAUUUGUAGCAAGUUCCAGUCAAUCCUUAUUUCAAAUAAUUCUUCAAAGUAUCAUGUAACCGUCUGUGUUGUGCACCUGUGGAGUAUUAGGGGGGCAGUUUGGCUCUGAUUAGAUUCUCUGUCUCUGGCGGGGAUUGUGUUUUGUUGUCUCUGCCAAACUGUUUUGCUUUUGCGGGAACGCUUGGAUCACUAGUUGUCUCCUUUGGUUUUCUCCUCACAAGUCUUUUUUGUAAUCAUCUCUGCUCCCUCUUCACAUCCCACCUCUCUCUCUCUCUCCUCUCCUGUCUCUCCUGGCUGUGACGAGGGCCACUGUAGGCGAUCGAUACCUGACAAUGUAGCAAAAUCAUAUAUUUUUCCUCUUCUUUAACAAAUUCAAUUUGGUCCUUAACAUUCCAGUGGCUUUAAUUAGAUGCCCACGGUAGCAAAUUGCAAUUUACAUUUUUAUAGUUUUUCGAGUUAAUUAGCUUGCUCACUCAGCCAAACCCGACUUGUUUAUGCCCUCCUCCUUUCUUUUCUCAUUCUGCCCCCUCGUCUACUUUUUUUAGGCCUUUGCUUGUGUUUACAAGAAAAAAAAGACCUAAUGCCACAUGAUUCCUUCUCAAUAAACCAAAUAAAACAUUAAUCUUACAAACACUGUCUUUGUCAGCUAUUUGGAAGUUGCAAGGGACCAUUUUCACCAAAACAGACCAUUCAAAAUUAAAUAAGUCGUCCCAUGUCUUUCUUGUUAAACACUAUUCUUCAACUCUCUGUGCUCAAAAUGGAUGUGUUAUAUUACAUUUUCUCUUUCUGUGGCGCAGACCACAGCUGUGACCCAGCAGCAUCAAAGUGGAAAUAAGUGAUAACAGUUUUUUAUUGAUCAUGUCCAACAGUUUCACCUGUGUGCAGAUAUAGGUGCUGGAUUCUGUCAUAACCUCUUUGUUAUAGAUUGUUGUGUUAUUUAAAACAACCAACUCAUCGGUGUGUAUCCCAGAUAACACAUAUCAUACAUUUCCAAUGAUAUGUCUCCACUCAAGUAAAGCCAAUGCAUACAGUACCCAUUUGACAUUUGAUUGGAGGGUUAUCAGAUCAUAAAAAAUGAUGAAGCAGAAGUUUUUCUCAAAGAGAGGAAAUAACUGAGUGUUCCUCCUUAUUGAUUUGUCAAUUUAAUGACUACAUUUAUUGUUUCAAGUUCUGCUCUUGCUCUUUAAUGUUUGAUUGGUUCCUGUUGUUAUAACUGAACUUAUUAUGAACCCACCACAAUUACUAAAAUACAAACAAAGAUAGCCGCUAACAUUGCACCUAAAGGGGGUAUACAUCUGCUCUGAAGCAAAAGAUGUUUGGUGGCUAGUGCUGUGGCUGGAACCCUAUAUGUACUGUUGUUGAAGUCAGGUGCUGUUCUGAGCAUGUAACUUAUUUGUUUCUCAAGCUGGGUUUUGAAGCCCAUUGGGGGUGGUCACCAUAUUGGAAAUGGUGACUCAACCUAACUGCAGUAAACCAUGGCUUCAUUUCUCAAGACCAAAGAGUGCUGCUUGGUUUAAAGUCAGCUUUAACCUUAUCUCUUUGCCCCCGUCUUGGUUGAGGGCUUUAACAUGCCUCUACACAAACCAACAGGUCAUGCCUGUAACUGUAUCCUCAUCCGAAAGAGUCUGGGGAUGAUCAAAUUGGGCACCAAGCAACAUUCGCUUUAAAAGUUUUUCAUUCUCCUAUGUCAGAAAAGUCUUUUUUUUUCCUGGUAUGUUUGGAUUUUCUCAUAAAUUUAACAUUUUAAUCUCAGCGUACUGACGUCAUUCCUUGGGAAUUCUCUACAGAAACCUUGUAAAUUCUGAGUUUUUACUUUUUAUAUAACCCCAGUCCUGAUUUAUACCUAAAAGCGUAAACCACGCGUGUUUUAGAAGGGUGCUACUCUGUGGAAUAUUAAAAGCUAAAAGCAUUGCUCAGUAAAUAGCGGUUAUAGCCGGCAGCUAGGGCGAUACCCUGACAAAUGACAGACCACAAACACUGAACACCUUUGUAACUUUACUAAUACAUCCACUCCAACCUUGAGUUCAAUCUCAAAUAAGGUAAAAAAAAAAAAAAUCAAACUCCUCUUCAAACCAAAACACACCCAGGGUUGCCCCAGAAAUGAAUAUCUCUGUAGAGCUGCCCCCUGCCAAAAUACAGCUGACCUGAACUGCUGGCGGCAUACGUGCGAAGAAAUAAGACUGCAGAGUGAGCGUCUGACCUACUGCUGUCAGAGAGAGAGAAAAAAAGACAAGACACACUACCUCCUUCUGUAACUUGUCUGACAUUCCCUCGUUUCUUUAUCCCAACCCCAUUACUAUGUUUGCUCUAAAACUAAACCUUCUUUUUUUACGACGAGAGAAAUCCUCAGGGGAGAGAGAGCGAGGUGAAGGAGGAAGGCAAAGAGAGAGAUGGGAGGAAAAAAGUCUGAGUGUAAGAGAGGUGGAUAGAAAGAGAGUCAGUCAACGCUGCAAUCAGCUGUGCAGACAGGCAAGUCACCUCUACUGUCAGUCACCACUCCCUCCUGUGACCAGAGGACUAAAUGAAACAAGGCCUUAGAGGUCCUCCAUGUUGUCUUCUAUUUCAUCCUCUUCCUUCAUCACUCUCGAUCUCCUUAACACACAUCAGACAGUCAGUCAUGGAGACUGUGGGGCUGGUUAAGGGACCAAAGACCUGCCAGGAGACCAUGUACACGCUGACCUCCAUUACAGCACAAUUAAAUGACCCGUGUCUUCCUCCAUGGUAAGACAGCACUUGACUCUUUCCUUUUCUUUUUCUAACAAGCAUUCCCCUGCCUCCCUUUUCUCACACCAUCCCGUUGUUCCUCAUUAAAACAUCACAACCACUUAGUGAAGUCUUCUCUGACAUAAUACAGCAUGUUGUUUCUCUCUUUUUUUUAUGGGACUAAGGCUAUUACCAGGACAGACAGGGACUAAUGUCUUUUUUAGCCGCUAAUUGCUCGUGUAUUCUGAUAAAAAUGAGGUCAGAGGUUCAGGAAAAUCUCCCAUCCGGGCUUGAAGCGAAACAUCAAUAGAGAAUAAGUUACAACCUGAUGCUGUAUACUGCGAUUAGUUUAAAUGAGGAGAGUAGAAACCUGAGAGCCAGUGAAAGCGCAGAAACAGAGAGUUUAUCUUUUCCUUUUAAAUAAAAUCAAUCUUUUGUUUGCACACUAAAACAGUGUUUGCUAAUUUAGGAAAGGCAAAUAACUCUAGCCCAAAUCUUAAAACAACAACAGAAGGAAAAAAAUGUUUCUGCAUCCAAAAUCCACAUGCUAAAUUAAGGAUAUCAUCCUACUUAAGUAGGGUUUCUUUUAAGUUUCAGAGAACUGAGAGUGCAGAAAAAAAGGCCCCAAUUUUAAAGUCUGCAGGGAUACCUCGGCACCCCGCAGGCUGCAUCAUUACAGGCGAUAUUUUGGUGGAAAACAUGCCCUGAAAAGCAGCUCCUGGCUCUGAGGGUACAGUGUUUGAAAUCACACAGAAUCUUUGAAAGCAGACUUUAGUGUUUCUUUGGAGUUUCCAAAGCCGCCCCCUUCGACACAACCCUGUGAGCUGGUUUUGUGCUCACCUCUCUCAGAAUCCACCAUUCUCGUCUAAUUAUAGACUGCUUGUUUGUCUAUAGGCCCGACUGCGCCUUUGAAUCCAGAUUGCUUUUGUCAUGUUUUCCUGUCAGCUUGUACGUUUUGUUUUGAAGUUCUUUUCGAUUGUCCAAGACUUUUUCUUGUUGGCUUUGCGCAGGCGAGUAAUGCAGUAGGUUUUUCUUUGCUCGAACUUGAAACCGAAGGAGUAAACAGAACCAAGACACCAGCCUGAAAAAAAGGAGGUCUAAUCUGUGCCUGAGGUAAAGUAAGGAGAGUGUGAGGACAUGGGGGCUGGGAGGAAAUCAAGAGCCCUGACCUGCUGUUCCAGCCCCUAUCUGCUAAUUAGUCCUAUUCACUAACCAGAUGCUUAUAAUUAAAUUUACAUGCAGCGGUGAAUAGCCGGAUAAAAAAGAACAGAUCCAUCAGGAGGCCCACGAAGGAGGCGUUCAUCGACCAUCACAUGCUGUGUAAAAAUACACAAGAACAUAAAAAGCUCAUUAAGAGAGACAAUAAAGGGAAGAGACCCCCGGAGCACUUCAAACACCAUCUUGAGCUGUGCCCCUGGAAGCAUCCACCCACCUUCACCCCUCCUCUCCCUCCCUUCUCCUCUCUCAUCCUGUGUCACGAUUCCUCUCCACCAUUCCCACAGCAUUUCCCUCCCUCAUUCGUGUUUGUGAAUUUUCACCCCCCACUUUUUCAUUAUACACCUGUCCGGUAGUGGAUUUUUUUUUGUUGUUGUCACAGACAGACCCUGCUUUCCUCUGGAGAUCCAAAGAGCAGAGGAAGAAGAAGUGGAGGAGGAGGAGGAGGAGGAGGAGGACGGGAAGAAUGAACAAGCUCCUGUUUAAUGCAGACUUGGCAUGGUGCCCCUGCUGAUGGAUCUAACUGCAGUAGCAAAACAACAACAACACUGCACAACAAAAAAGCCUUACUCUUACUCGCUUACUCCCACUUGGAUGCUCUGGCUAGUUAAUUAUUGCUCAGAGCUAUUUAAAUACACCUAAUUAAAACAAAUGUAAAGUAGAUCAUUAGUUGAAAGAUGUUUGCUCCCUGUUGUAGGGGAGCAGGCUGUGAGGACAAACAAACAAAGGGGCAUUCAGCACUGCUCUGUGGUCAGCGACUGCUAAGAUAUUCAUCAAGAGCAAGGCAGAUGGAGGAUAAACCGGCACGUAAAUGCCAUUACUGUUUUUUCCUGUCUAUUUUUAAAAAGGCAAACAACAGUUUGAUUCCCAGCAGCAACCAGCGGGCUGUGAGCUGAUCAAACAAAGUACAUAUAGAGGGCAGAUCAUCAAAAGUAAAUAUCAAAGGAUCCGACAGCCAGAGGUCUAAUUGCUGUUAUUUUCCAGGAGGUCUUUCCUUCUUCUGUAGAAAAAUAAACUCAUCCUAGUGAGAGCCACACUGGGCUUUCACUCGGAUGAAAGGAAAUAUAUUUAACAGGCCUUUUAAGGUAUUAAUAUACUAUAAUAUAAUAUAUAAUAUAACAGGAGCCCAGAUGUUAAGGUUAACAUCAAAAAUGAAUGCUCAGCUUAAUGCUAUUUAGCUUACGUAUAGACCCCGACAAUGUCACAGUUGGUGCGUUUACAUGCACAGCUGAAAGGGAUAUUCUGACAUUAAAUUAAGUUAGGGUCAAACACACCGUAACAGCGAAUUAGACGCCCCGUCAGGAGAUGAAUGUUGCCAACUGCUUGCUUCUCUAGUUACACCAACUUAAGUAACAACCACAGAUAGCAAUAAAGAGAGCCAUGCACUCAACCAAAAGGCCACUCUAUAGCCACAAAUAAUGCUCAGAACAGCACCUAACUUCAUCAACAGUACAUGUAGGGUCCCAGGGCUCAAGGAAGAACAUUUAUUCCUCGCCCGAAGGUCUCGCUACAAACAAGCGGCUGCUGGAGGAGAGUAGGUGAGUUGUGUUUAGUCUCUAGUCUCUUUAGUCAACCACAAAAUGUCAAGACUGACAAACUCUCAGUUCAUCGUCACGAAUCACACUUUGAUUUUCGUGUACCUCCUUUGGUUGUCCAAUCAGAUCAUCCAGCCACAGAGCAAACAAGUUUGACAGGUUGCUGUUAUUUUUAAGUUUACUUAUUCAAGAAACACUCUUCAAAUUUUCUGCUGUUGUCUGAGACAGGCUAAAAACAACUUAAUCCUCGGUGCUAAUUAACAUGUCAAAUAGGACUGUUCUGCCUCCCUCUAAGCCCCGCCCAUCAACAAAUGUCAUACAGUUUAAAACGUGUUUUUCUUUCUUCCUAAUAAGACAGGAUUCAUUAGACGGUUGUAUUAUAGCCAGCAAAUUUAGCCGCAUCAACGGUUGAUUUGUUUCAAACUAAAAACUUUACCAAAGUUUGUCUGAGUUGUUGUUAAUAACCAUAUUAAUUCACAGAACAAUAAUUCUGUGCUGCUACUCUCUGCUCAAAAUGUCAGCCUGUUAACCGGUUUGGAAGUAAAAAACUGAUGGAUUGGAUCACAUUUUGUAUCCUGUCGGACUCUCUCUUUUUCACAGAUAUUUUUUAUAUCUACUUCACUAUAAUAAAGGAACUUUUUCCAUCAUGGCAGUUUCUCCUCUAGACAGAUUUAUUAGUAUUAGUUUACAUUUUGAUAUAUCCCCAGACUCUGUAGCAACUCUACAUCAGGCCUUUUAAAUUGAGAUUCUGUAACAGUGUAAGAAAGAUUCACUGUCGCAAAGUCUUUGCACACUUAAAGGUGGGGUAGGCAGGAUUCUGUUAAAGAAGCAAAAAAGCUUUUGAUAUCAGUCAAUAGCUAUUAGUUGUUGAUGACAUUUGGUAAUAUAACGAUAUCGCUGUGUUUCGUUAUGUCUGUGUAGUCAACAUUUUAGCGGCCCGCUCUUUCUGACUGUAAACAAAGCCGUUCUCCGCCUCCCCCAACCUGAUUGGUUGUGAGGCACGCUCCAUGUCCUCCAAUAACAUGCAUGAGCCCAAACAAAGUUAGCGUGCUACAACAUCGGACAGUAGAAACCAACCCGAAAGUACGGAAAACACAAGUAAUAAAACAAAGUAAACACAGGAGACUCUGGGGGAAUAACGGGCGCUUAAAAUGAAGGUAGACCAGACAAGAGCUAAGAAGCUGGGUCAACAUCAGCAUAAACGAUGGGGGACGUUUCGGGAUCUUACGGACCCUGUAUCCUUUCUGCUGGACAGGUAAACCGCUUUAACAAAGUAAGUAAAGUGUCUGUAACAGAAGUGUUUCUUGUUUAACGGGACCUGCUGCGUGUCGUAGCGCCGCUAAACUGUCCUCCCUCGGGUCCUGGACUAUGUCACUUUAUCCUCGUUGUAGAAGUCCUGCAAACAUUGUGUUUGCUGGUAGUCUGUUGGCAUCUACAGUAGCACCAAUGAUGUUUACUUUCACAUUGACUGGGCCCCAUUUGUAAUGAUCUGAAGUAUUUAUCUGCAUUAUAUCUGAAAUCAAUUGAAACGAUACGACCGAGCAGGAGCGUCUGUUUGUGGGCGGGGCUUGCUGGAGCAGAGAGGGCGGAGAGAGGAGGAGCUGAGGGGAGGUCAAUGUUUACAUUUAAGAUUUCUCCCAAAAACUGGCACUUCCCAGAUCCUGCCUACCCCACCAUUAAGCUGAGGCCUGCAGUAGUGGUAUAUUAGUGCUCUACAAUGACAUUUACAAUAUCAUUUGCUCUAGUGUGUGAUUUUACGCUGUGUUACUGGUUUGGGAUACUUGACAGAUACAUCAUGUGAGCCACUGUUGUGAUUCUUGGAUAUAUACACAAGACCCUUAAGAGUCAGACAUGGUACAUGACCAAGGCUGUAUUUCACUGGCCCUUAUAUACACUGUGACAAGCCAAAAUGUCAUAUUUGGGUGGACAUCUAAUAAAAUUUAGCCCUACAAGAUGCCAAAUUACUCUGAAUAAGAAUUAUCUUUCAACUUUGAGGAGAAAAGAAGAAUAAGGUGCGAGGUGCAGUGAAGUAAAUCAGAGCAGACCCGUUCCCCUCUCCAGCAGUAUGUUGAAGGCCCUUCUCCUGUGGCAGCCUGUAAUUAACUAUUGACCGCGCCACCAACAGGAACCAAGAAGCAGUAGACAAAGAACCUAGACUAAAGGCUAAUAGCCCGAGAAUGUGAUACAUCCCUUAAAGGCCUUUUUCCUCCACUCUGCUCAUCACUUCUCCCAGUUUAGGCAGCGUUUCAAAUCCGCACUGAGAUGAGCUGCUGCAGCCGACACAUACUGCAGUGGCUUCAGUCUUCCCUGAAAAUCUAUGGCUUUGUUUGAUCCCAGUCUAACAACAGUUACGCGCUCAUACACAUCCAUAAAUGCAUUGCUUUGCACGUACACAUACACCUGUUUAUGUGAGUGUGAUUUUGCUGCCAAGGCAAAGCAAGACGGAAAGAGGAGAAUCCUCAAUAUGACAGUGGUAGAAUUUGAUAAAAGUAUUACAGCUGGAAAAUUCAGCAUCCUGGUGCGGGGACACACUCUAACAGAGCAUCUCUACAUACACUCACACAAACACACGCCACAGGGACCCUGUUUGUGCUGCCCACAGUCUGACAGGGGCCCAUAUGCAUAACACACCCACACACGUUAUAUUAUAUAUGCACUCAGAGGGAGAACAAAUAGCCUUGUAGUUAGGCACUGCAGCACGCUGGGGUCGAGUCCCCAUAGGCUGAACAGCAUGCAUCGGAUAAUAAAGUUCCAGUUUUUUAAGCAUUAAACCCCAAAGAUGAUUCAUUCUGUGUUUUUUUUUUUUGUUUUAUUAAAUAAUCUAUAGAAAGUAAUUAUUCUGAAAGAUGUGAGAAAAUAGAGAAGAAGAUGGAGACCUGAGAUAAUUACCAGUUCAUCAUUACAUCUGCACAUUAGGUACAGCCACAUAAUGCAAAUUCACAAUAAUUAACGGAGAUAUACUAUAUUUUACGCCUGUCAAUCAUCCUCACCCAUAUAUGUGAGGAAUAAUUACCACCUGCAUCACAUCUUUGCUCCGCACCUGUAAUUACAGCAAUGCUAUGCAGAGUGUCCAACCACACAUGUGAUUGAAGCUCUUCUAUGUGUGAGCUGUCCUCCCACUGCAGAGCCACAGAACAGGAUGAACAAAUUGUGUAUAGUUAGCGCAGGCCAGACUGGUGGAUAAAGCAGGAUGGAUAAUUCAAAGGCACUGGGAGAGGACACACGCUUGCUUUGCUGGUCUCCAUGGUCUCCAAACAAGCCUAUAAAUUUUCAUAACUGGUGGGUGGACCGUAGUUGGCGCUGCAAGUGAGCAAAUGGCUCUGUCUCAGGAAUCAUGAAUAUCAAUGAAAGACGAGGAAUAUGACCGUACUGCAGGAGCAGGGACUGGGCUACAUUUUCCCAGCAAAUCCAAACCCUAAACUGGACCGGAAAAUUUCCCGUGGCUCAUAAUCACUGUUGUGUUUAAUUUCUCAUUGUGCCUUGAUUAUGUUUUCACAAUGGAGUUCCUUAUAAAUGUGAGUUUCUAUGAAGGCUGUUAAGAUGUAAUCAGUGCCAUGCUGACUUUAUUGCAUACCUGCACAUUCAUUAUGUAAAGUGAAGUACAUUAAUUUGAUGGUGGUGAAGUGGUAGAGGUUAAAAUGCUGAAAAAGUAUAAAUGUAAGGCAACACAAUGUCUAACAAAAGAAAUCAGUUGAUUACUAAUUGUGGUUUGCCAUGUUAGCCUGUGACAAUAAUCAUUAAAGCAUUGAUUGCCCCAAUGCAAUCAAUGCUGAUAACCAUUGCUAACAACUAUUGCUAACAAGAAUGGCAGCAUGACUUGCACGACUUUGGGUAUUUCUCUGGUUCUUGCCAGAAAUCUGCAAGUUCUCGUCCCACCCAGCACAGAACAGAAAGCUGGUUGCUGUACUUCAAAAUCUGAGCCAAAGCUUGGAGAGCGUCUCGUAGUAGCAGAUGGUGGAAUAAGUGAAAGGCUGAUGAAAAACUCACUCCCAUGCUCGAGCAUGUUUAUCAUUUUCAGACCGAGGAAACCUUGCCAUACGAACUGACAGUUGCGAUGAGAAUGUUUAAUGCGAGUUUUGCUGCCAAAUCAAGGCUAUCAAUCAUCUUUUCUGUGGUCUCAUUUUUCAAUAGUUUUACUAAUAAAUCACUUUUCUGACGAUGAUUUAUUGAUGUUUAAUAAUGUGUGGUGCAGCUCUCUAGUAUUUCAAUAUCCUACCUAUAUGCAGUGAGGGAACUUGUAGGGGGCAGAUUUGAAAAAUACAUGCAAAUGAAUCAUUAACAUGCAUUUAACACCAAUGCUCUUUGACCCAUUUAUCUGAAAAUUGCCAUUUUUAUUGGAUAAUAGGAUGGGACUAAAGUUGGCAAACACUGAAAGAGCUUUUGUGAGGAACUUUGGUUUUGGUCAUCAAUUCUACUGCCCCCUGGGGAGAGAAGUGAGUCUUAUUACUUUGACGCCCUUUUCUUGUACAGGUAGACGAACAGGUCUGUUUAUCUGUUUACAGUUAACUAUCUGUGUUACUUUUUAAUUUAACUAUGAAUAUAGUCGUAUAGGAAAAGAUCUGAAAAGAUGACACUAGUUUGUUGUUGUUGCUCCUGACAACCAUUGUGCAGACCUCAAUCCCAUAUUCUUUGUAUUUUGUAAUGUUAAAUUCCAGCCAGUUUUACUUACCUGCCAUACUGACUUUCCCUUGGUAACAUUCAAGUUAAAUGUCUAAAAGCCAUUUGGUAAUAAAUUAUAUAUUUAACAGGCUAAUUUCUAAUUUAAUUGAAAAGCAUUAAUGAGUCCCAGAGCUGGUGUCCAUGUUUGAAAAUAAUUCUGACUGUUUAGUCAGAAUAAAUGGAAAAAUGGAAAGUGGUCGUUACCUGUUGGAGAGUCGAUAGUUAGAGGAGUCAAUGGACAUAUCGGCCCUUCCACUACAAUAGAAUUAUGAGCAGGAUGGAUGGUUGAACCAUGACAUCGAUAUCUACUUAUCUAUGUGUCCAUCUUGAAAUCGGCUGAGAGGAAUGUGAUUAAAAGGCUGUGUGAUCCAUGCUUUCAAUUUUAUUGAUCUCUCUAUACAAACCAUUACUAGAGCACACACACACACAUACUGUAGACCCAACAUCUCAUCCAUAUCUAUAAAUAUCAACCUGAGGUAGACUGACUGACGACCUUAUAUCCUCUCACACAGACUCACACUGGAGUAACGCCGGCUUUCAUUUUGCUGGGGAAAAGCUCGACAGCUAGUUUGCUGUGAAUUUAAAGCGAUAAGCUGAGCAGUGGCGAGCCGAAGCUAUUCCUGGACGUUAGGUGCACGGCCAGUGCUGGGAGAUUUAUCUCCUCCUCUGAAAUUUCAUUUGGGGCAGGAAUAAUAAGGCAUAGGAAAUGAAAGUUAAUCAUGAAACCUCCCUCACUUCUUCCUCUUCUCUCUCUCUCUCUCUCUCUCUCUUUCUCUCUCUUUCUCUGACACGGGCUUUAAGAGCUCAGCUGAGGCCUGCUUUUGCUGUGGAGUCUUUUGUCUUUUUUUUCCUCCCUUGCAACCUUUUAAAUGCUUCAUAAAUCAGAAACAAGACGCACACUUCUGAUGGUUUGUUGUCCCGCAGAAACUAAUUACAAUGCGAGAGCCGGUGAAACAACCAAGAAUGAAAUGAAGUAACAUCCAGCAUUCAUUAAAAAAGGUGGACAGGUUCAAGAAUGUUUGAGGCCCAAGUUGUAGUGCGUCUUUCUUAUUAUAUCUUUACAAGGAUACACCUAUAUUUCUGCUCAAUAGGACAAGAGCAUAUGAGAUAACAUGGAGGAGUGUUUUGCUCCUGAUGGACUUGUACCAGAUACUACGUUCCCACAAAAAACAAGUCCGUCUGUAAGAACCAAAGGGAAACCAUGUCCAGAUUUACUGCUUCAACUUAUUUGCAAUGAAAAAUGGGACAAUUUCUGAGUCCCAGUGUUUGGCAAUACACUUAAAAUCUUCUUUUGAUUCUCCAUGGAGCUGUUUUCUUGUGUUAACACUGGACUUAAUGACUCUGAUUUAUUUGAAAUUUUCACCUGUAUUGCUAAAAAACUGAUAGUCUAUCUCCUCUGGAGCCUUUUAGGGGCUGACAUCUCAACAAUGUCACAGUAGUAGCUGGAGGCAAGACAAAGCUAAACUGGAGAGAAAUAAAGCCCGGCUCACCCUGAAAUAUUUUUAGAAGCUUAGCUGAUUUUAAAAAUGUCAGAGACAGGGAUUUAACAGUUUUGUUUCUGUAGUGUGUGGUGUCAACAAUGUGGUAACGACAACACACAACACAUAUGGAGACAUGAGAGGCAACAGGAGCUAACCCUUGCUAGCUUCUUAGCUUCCUGGUUCAUCUAAAGUAGAAAUUUUAUCAGAUGGACUCGAUAUUUCGGAUGUCUGUCCCAUGUAAUGCUUCAUGUUUACUGUCAUUGCCAUAGUUGCAUUUUCUGUGUUCCUUCUUUAAUCAGCUCGUUUCCAUACCCACCCACCCGCAUAAGUAUUCCUGAUUGCAAACUACAAAACAAGUUUAGUAUCUAGGUUUCGAGUUGGGGAGGCCUUGAAUGUCUUAACACACCUCUUGAUAAUCUGCCAAUAUAAUCUUAACCAUCCAACAAUCAGGCCUUUGCUGACUUUUGAGAAAGAGAAAUCAGGCACAAAAUCAGCAUGAUUAUUUCGCUGUGUGUGCCCCACUUCAGGAAUCUUAGCGUAAUACUUUGUGGUUUUUGGGUCAAAAAUAAAAAGAUUAACAGUACUGUCUCAGUGAUGAAAUUCUCCCAUAUACCUGUGAUAAUCCCAUUAAUCAGCGCUAAUUUAAUCAAGUGAAAUUAUCAGAUGUUUAAAGACCCACUCUGAUCAAAAUCAUCUUUAUCUUGUUGUCUACAUGUUCAUAUGGCAUUUAUCUGAUCCUUCAGGACACAUCAUGAGAAAACUAAUUGCCCCCAAAUGGCAGGCUCAGACACAGUGAGAUUUCUUACAUCACAAAUCCAAGCUCCACCCCCUGAGCCCCGCUCUGGAGACCAGACCCUGAGAAAUAGAGAAGACAAUCCUGGCUCAAGCGUUAGUGGAUUGCAUUGCUUGCAAGAAAGCUACUUAUGAUAUUACCUUUUAUCAUGCUGCCAAAGAAAUUAGCAUCCAAAAGCUGAAUAGCUCCUAUAUUAGCUGCCACUUUUGUGACACCGACAACGUUAGGCUGCAAGCUAACUUGAAGAGGAGUAUGUUUUGGCUAAAAACUUCAUAAUCACAAUUUAAAGACCACUGAGAACACUUUAAAUAGUAAAAAAAAAUCAUAGGAGUGGGACUUUAAGAAGCCAAAACAUCAGGUUAUUUAGAUUACAGGGUGCUCUUUGGAGGUAGGCAAUUCUGAGAGACAUAUUGAACGAGGAGAGCCCAACAGAUGAUCAAUUAAUUUGUUUUUAAAGUAACCAAGGACUGAUUUUUUAAAAACUGUUUCAAGCUAACAGAGCAACUUAAUUAAACAACCUUUUAAAUGACCCGAGGACCUGCUGUUUUCCAGUAAAACAUUCAACUAAACCUGCUGUGUAAAAGGCUUCAUAUUAUCAUAGUGAAUACAGAGCUGUUUAUGGCUGAAGUUUAUGAUGAGGAACAUGAAGAGUGAUCUUUACAAGGCACAAAGAUUUAAAGGAUUGAGUUUUAUGGUUUUUGAGCGAUGAUAGCGAAACCAAUAUAAUAUUCCGCUAGAGCCGAUUUAAUUUAGAUCACGAGGUCAGGGCGUUAGUUGGGCCCACAUGUGAGCAAACACACCAAAAAUAGCCACUAAUGUGUUAGAUGGAGUGUAAUCAAGAGCCUGAAUGCUACUAUUAAGCAGUGGUUGAUGAAUCCAAUCUUCUUCAAGUGAAAGGAAAGCCGCUGUCUGUCAUUCUUCUCAGCAAGUCACUUAACCUGGACGGCUUGUGUAAACACUCUGUGGGAUAAAUGGGUAUUAUCUUAGAGGAGGCCAAGAGCCGCCAAAGCAGAGGGGUGAUGGAACUAACUAGAAAAAAACUAUCGCUUCCACUUCCUGGACAAUGAGGAACCCUGUAAUAGGUAUUUGUGUGAACGUGUGUCUGUGUGCUUUGUGCAGCAGGGGGAGAAAGAUCGAGAGGCGGCAAUAGGAAGAGCUAGUCAAAGAAGAAGGGAUAAAUAAAAGAGAGAGAGAGAGAGAGAGAUCACUGUAAUGAGGUGUCUCAGAUGCUGAUGUGUUUUCGGAGACACACAGCGUAGAGGUAACAGUUCUCUGAGUGGGGUGCUUUAGCAUGUGCUCCCCCUGACCAAUUCAAGCCGAUCCAGAUUGCCUUUCAUUGAUGUGAUGGCUGCUGUGUUUACCUGCUGGUCUGAGAGAGGACAGAAGACUUUGUUGUUUUCUUUCUUGUUGCUUUGUUUAUCUCUGCUGUUCAAAAGUUAUCAAUGCUUUCAUUACACCUCGUCUGGACUACAGUCAGUCCCUGUACAUGAGGGUCAGUCAGUCCUCCAGCUCAUAUCUGCUAAACUACCUCAGAUGUCUGAACACUUUUAUGGGCUCUUUCAGGUCAUUGGCUCUAACUGCCUCCCUGCAUGUCAGCAGCAUGUGCAGUUUAUAGCAACAUUUUUACACACAGAGCACGUACUGAGUGCAUAACCCUUUUUUUUUCUUUUACUUGCACUGCCUCAUUUUCAAAAGAGUGGGACUGUACAGUGUUAAAAAUGAUGACAGUGAUGCGUGUAGUCAAAGCAGCUAGAAAGCAGGCAGAUCUACGGCAAUAAAACAUCUGCAACAGUGAUCCAGAGGAACCUACAGCAUGAUGGAGCAGAUGGACACCCAAAAAGUGGUUAGCGACUCAAAUGGGACAUGAUACUGUAAUUGGACAGACAUCGAUUUCCAAAUCCCUUAAACCCUAUAUAGUGUUAAAAAUACAAUAUAAAUAUAAUAAGUCAACAAGUUUCAGUUCAACCCACUUCAUGAUGUUCCCCGCUGUGCUGGUCUCAGUCACACUGAGUACACGGUGAAGCACCAUGUAAUACGCAAGCUAACAUUCGAGUUAGCCACCUGCUAUUAGCCUUGCUACACUGUUAGCCGUGCAAGCAACGGUAGAAUAAACAACAGUACACACUACGUGAUCGAGCUACUUCUCUUACUGAGGCAGCUGCAUGUCUGCAGAUGAGACCAGACUGGAAAUGAGUAACAUGCAGAUGCGGAGGCACCGAUCAGUGGUGGGGAUAGUUGAAAACGCUUUUCUGGUCCAAGUUUGAUCAGUCGGUCUUCAGACUAUAGUAUUCUGUAGAUAUCUACAGCAUAUAUAUAUAUAUAUAUAUAUAUAUAUAUAUAUAUACACACACACACACGCCUUCGCCCGCCAGAAGAUGCUGGGAUAGGCUUCAGCCCCCCAGCGACCCCGGGAACAGGAAUAAGUGGUAGAAAAUGGAUGGAUGGAUGGAUAUAUAUAUAUAUAUAUAUAUAUAUAUAUAUAUAUAUAUAUAUAUAUAUAUAUAAUCGGUAAUCACAUUUUUCUCCCCCCUAAUAAUCUGUAUCGGCAUCGGCCCCAAAAAAUCUGUAUCGGUCGGGCCCUAGUGUAAAUCCAAUAGUAUAAAUUCGCAAACUUAAUUUUUGAUGCCAGAAAGGUUAUGCAAGGUCUAUCCUGAAAAAGGUAUCAUCUGGAUUGCAGCAUAUGUUGCCCUAACACCUGUCUAGGUCAGCAUGGCAAUGGUUCCUUCCCAGGUGUAUAAACUAGGCAUGCCAGUGUCACUUAUACUGUAUAUCUCCAUACCAUCACAACUGCUAGCUCUUAACUGUGUGCUGAUAACACACUCCUGCGAGGGUGUGGCAUCCAUGAUUUCCAAAAAGAACACAAAUCUGAGAGGUGUCAAAAAGAAAAAUACCCCCUACGAAUUCAUGUCCAGACAAAUGCAGAUUAUUUUGGACAUGUCACCCUAAUGUCUACUGUCUCGACUAAUUGAGGUAGAUAUCUUCCAUAUUGCUCCUUUAAACCAGAAAGACUUAAACUGGGUUGUACUAGUUUCUGGUUUGUGAUUGGUUCAGGCAUCGAUUGUGCCAUUUUUCUUUCCUGUCUUGCUUACCUGUCCCUCGCCUCUGUCCCCUUCUGUCUCCCUUUGCUCUUUCAUCAGGUUUUUUUCCUGCCAGAGGCCGAGUCUCCUGCCUUAUGGAUGAGCCCUGUCAGUCAGCAGGAUCUCAUACAGCACCAACACAUCACCCAGCAUGACAUUAGAGCCACAAAACUGUGCUGGUGUGUUUAUACGUGCAUGUGUGAUGUACACGUUCUCCAAUGUGUGUAGAGUGGGGAGGACUUCUAAGGCAUGCAUCAUUUUCCCGGUAGACAAAUAUGAAAAUGCAUGACGACUCUUGCAUGACAGCUCUGUCCUCAUUCAUCCAUCAAUCAGCUUUGCAGAAUAUACAUUCAGACACAUAUACAGAGAACACACAUGCAUGCAUCAUGGGAAUGUGGAAAUAUGCUCAUAGGAUGUCAUGUCAUCUAUUAUCCAAUAUAGUGCAGAGAAAGACAGAGAUGGUGAG